Molecule: long non-coding RNA, 57288 nt
Filed under: Zea mays
Lineage: Eukaryota; Viridiplantae; Streptophyta; Magnoliopsida; Poales; Poaceae
Description: long non-coding RNA (ZMAY_LNC000538)
Source: RNAcentral
UCUACAACGACCUCAACAAGUUCGGCAAGCGAUGGAUGAAGGAACUCCCCUCGGUGGUCUGGAGCCUAAGGACGACGCCGAGUCGUGCCACGGGUUUCACGCCGUUUUUCCUGGUCUACGGGGCCGAAGCUAUCUUGCCCACUGAACUGGAAUACGGCUCCCCGAGGACGAGGGCCUACACCGACCAAAGCAACCAAGCUAGCCGAGAAGACUCGCUGGACCAGCUGGAGGAGGCUCGGGACAGGGCCUUACUACACUCGGCGCGGUACCAGCAGUCCCUGCGACGCUACCACGCCCGAGGGGUCCGACCCCGAGACUUCCAGGUGGGCGACCUGGUGCUUCGGCUACGGCAAGACGCCCGGGGAAGGCACAAACUCACGCCCCCCUGGGAGGGGCCAUUCGUCAUCGCCAAAGUUCUGAAGCCCGGAACAUACAAGCUGGCCAACAACCAAGGCGAGAUCUACGGCAACGCUUGGAACAUCAAACAGCUACGUCGCUUCUACCCUUAAGAUGUUUUCAAGUUGUUCAUAUACCUCGCACCUACGCAAAGUUUAGUCGUCAAGGAAGGGUCGGCCUAGCCUCGGCAAAGCCCGACCCUCCCUCGGGGGCUAAAAGGGGGGAGACCCCCUCUGCGUCGAAUUUUUCCUCGAAAAAGGAUCUCUUUUUAGCAGAAUUUCUUUCGUGCUUUUUGACUGCUUCGAAAAGCGGAUCCUGGAAACGACGGAGUACACGUAAGCAGCCAAGGCCGACCGAGCCGAGGGACUCCUACGCCUCCGGGAUACGGAUACCUCACUCAUCACCUUCUGUGAUAAGUAACUCGCGUUCGGAUAAAGUGAUUCCGCGGACCGAACAAGUCUUCACGUUCGGAAGCUCUUCUGUCGAGACGGUCCUUCAAGCCUUCUCGACUGAAUCGGUGACAGGGCCUCAUGGACGGGCGAAAGUACGUGUAAGCGGCAAGGCCGACCGAGCCGAGGGACUCCCACGCCUCUGGGAUACGGAUACCUCACUCGUCACCUUCCGCGAGAAGCAACUCUCGCCCACACAAACAUCCCUGUUACCGACGGAAGGUCCAGAUGCUCGAAAUAAGAGGAAAAGGAGACGCGGCUUUACAACGAAGCGAGGGUGUGUUUUCUGGCCUCGGCAGCCACAGAAGGCACACGCUACAAGACAAUCUGAUCCUGCAGGCUCGGGUCUUCACGCCGAAGGGGGCUGCACCACCCUCGGCAUCGACGACGCCUUCAGCAAGGUCCGACCCAGCCUCGGACGGCGACGCGGUCCGGGGACUUCUCCGGGAAUCUGGCCCGAGCAGGCGGCUCGGCCGGUUACCCCUGGGGCCUCGGCCAAGCAUCUUCCAAGGGCGCCAGCCCGACCCGAGGCCUCGGGUCAUCGACUCUGACGUCGGGCCACGCUGACGGGCAACCCGGCCAGGCUCCGGCCAACCAGGUUCCCAUUUUCGAGCCAACUCCGCCUCUGUUCGUAUUGAUAUCGCUACCCCUGGCCUCGGCUCGUCGAAGAGCGGCCAAGGGGUCCCUUUAACUAAGCUAGAGAAACCUCAGACAACAAGGCCGAUCGAGCCGAGGGAUUCCUACACCUCCGGGAUACGGAUAUCUCACUCGUCACCUUGACACGGGGCGACUCAUGCUUGGUGAAGCGGUUCAGAUAAUCAACAGGCGAGACUUAGUGCUCGAAAAUGAGGAAAAAACACGGCUCCGUGCCGAAAUUACAUACAUGUUCAGGCCUCGACAGCCACAAUGAACAAGAAACACUGGCAUUCAAGGUGCCAUCACAAACGGAACUCCGGUUCCGUCCCCGCGGGUACGAGCGGCCUCGGGCCUGCGGGGCGACGAUCAUCGGGAGGCUCGACCUCUGCGGCAGCAGCCAUGGUCCCGGGCGGACGCGGCCACCAGGGGGCUCUUGUUCGCGGUCCCGCUCAAGGGACGCGAACCGGCCAUCAAAGCCAAAGAGCAGGCCGCUCCCAAGCGCUCCGACAGAUCCUCGCUGCCGUCCUCGCCGCGAAUGCGAGGGGAAGGACGGAAUGUUGCAUCCUAGCUGGGCAGCAACAGUUCGCCUUCCCCGGCAUGACUGGAGGACGUCUCCGUCGCAGCACGGGAGGGCGAUUGCCACCACCAGAAGCUGGAAGAGGAGGUGGUCCGCCGACCCACGCAGGAGGUAGAGCCCUGGCUCGCCUCGCGCCCCGCCCCAGCGAGGAUGACGAACACCCCCGAUGCUGGGGCGGGAUCACAGCCUGGUUUGCCUCUCCCCAUCCAGGAGCUGAAGGUCACCGUCUUGGGUGACCGCCGGCGGAGGGGAGCAACCAGGCUGUGUGAUGAAAAUCCUUGAAGCCGAACGAUGGCUGAAAGGUACCAACUCCCACGGAGUUGCGUUCCUCCGACGAGGAGGCGGAAAGACGGCGGGCACCCCCCAUCCGGGGGCUUGGAAGAUGGAAAGACGCGACGCAUAAGGGAGGGAGAAGACAUGGUUGCCUUUCGAAAGGGGUCGCCCUCCUUUUAAAGGCGACUCUCCCUACGUGCGCCCCCAAACGCCACGGGCCGAGUCUUCUCCAACACGCUCCAAGGCCCUCCUCUGCGGCGCGGGGGCUGGGUCCCGCAUGUCAUGCAAACCGACUCAGAAGCAGAAGAAGCCAAAUCGCCGUGCGCGGUGCACACAACCGCCCAGCGGUUACAGGCGAUUCCCCACUUUCGCCCAGACCAACGGGCGGGAGGGGCGGGCAGCCAUGCAGGCGGCAUGCAACCGCGCCAGGUGGACGCGCUUCUCCGACUUCUGACACGCCAGAUUGGAGGCCCAGGCCCACGCGUCGCACAACCAGCGCGCCAGUUGCUGCAUGCAAGCAACCGCACCGCCACUUGUGCCACCGUCGCACCUCUUCGGUUGUGGAGCCUAUGCCGCGACUCGAGGCGACCCAGCGCACGACCCAGCAGCGCCAGCCUGGCGCAUUGGUCAAAGCGGCCGAAAGUGGGCCGGCAGUAAUGGCGUGGCAGGCGGGCGGGCGCAGCAGUCACGUCGUCAGCCAGGCUCACGUCCCAUCCUGGGACUGCAAGAGAGCCUCCUCCCACGGCGUGAAGACGGUGCACCCGUAAUCCGUUCCUCGAACGGCUCGCGCACGCGUAACGGCCGCCCCGCCAACCACUCGCCCCGUCGCAUUAACUCCGCGGCGGGACAGGCGGCGCCUCUGGCAGGAGAAGCGGACGACGCUUCGCCUUCGCCGUAAUGACCGUGUCAAAAAAGGUACGCCACGUCGUUCGAUUUCGUAUCCUUUUCCUUUUUUCCUCUUUCUCUAUCUCUUGCAACAGGGACCGGGAAAGGGGGAUAACCCGAAAAGGAUCCUUCUCUGUGAAGGAACCGGGCUCCGAGCCCCCCCUACUGAUCAGAGGUUCGAAGGCUGGCCCCCGAGGGGUUUCGACAGUCGCCUCAGAUCGCGUGGGCCCGACACCCACUACUGGUCAGGGGUUCGAAGGCCAGCCCCUCGAAGGGCUCCAUGGCCGCCUCAGGCUGCUCGGGAUCCGUGCCCAUUACUGAUCAGGGGUUCGAAGGCUGGCCCCCGAAGGGUUCACAGUCGCCUCAGACGUCGAGCGAGGGAUGACCAGGGGUACGUUCGAUACAUAACCGAGGCUCGGGCUGCGCUCCCGAGGUACCCUAGGACAUUUCCGAGACCAGCGGGAACGAUCUUGUAACGGAAUCCCAUCGGAGGGAGGCAUCGAGCCCUCGGACCCCGUCGCCAGGAGAUCGGGUCCGGCAAAUCACCCGCAGGUACUUUUGGGCGUGCCUCUGGGCCCCUAGCCGACCCCCAACGAACGGGGCACGGACGUCCACUCGGAUUACCCGCUUGCAGCUCACCGGAGACACCAUGUUCGGUGCCCAUCGAGGGUAACAUGGCGCUCUCCCCCCUCCUCCUUGCGGAAAGGCGACGUAGGGGCGUAUGUAAAAAAGCCGAGUCUGUCCCUGAUCGUCCUCUCGCCCUGUGCAGAGGCUCGGGGGCUGCUCUCGCAAACCCGGCUCCGGCCAAACCGUUGACAGCGUCAACAUACCAGCCCGAGAGCUUGGGCCCCGACCGUGCACCCGGGCUACGGCCAGUUCGCAUGAGGGAACGACCAGACCAGCCGAAGCAUUACGCAAGGCAUUAAGACCUCGAAGGAGUGUAACCACUCCUCCGAGGCCUCGGGGGCUACACCCGGCGGGUGCGCUCGCGCGCACCCACCGGAACAAAAUGCAACCGAGAAAGGCUGGUCCCCUUGCAAAAAAGUGCGACGAAAGCCUCCAAGCGAGUGCUAACACUCCCUUCGAGGCUCGGGGGCUACUGUCGGGGACCAUAAUUAGGGGUACCCUCAAGACGCCUAAUUCUCAGCUGGUAACCCCCAUCAGCAUAAAGCUGCAAAGGCCUGAUGGGUAUGAUUAAGUCAGGAAUCAGUCCACACAAGUGACUCGAUCACGCUUCGCCCGAGCCUAGCCUCGGCCAAGGGCAGCCGACCUCGAGAGACUUCCGUCUCGCCCGAGGCCCCCCUUUUUAACGGCGGACACACAUCCGGCUUGCCCGAGGCCCUGGCUUCGCUUAGAAGCAACCCUGACUAAAUCGCCGUGCCGACUGACUAGGUUGCAGGAGCAUUUAACGCAAAGGUGGCCUGACACCUUUAUCCUGACACGCGCCCCCCGGCAGAGCCGAAGUGACCGCCGUCACUCCACCGCUCUACUGACCAGUCUGACAGAAGGACAGCGCCGCCUGUGCCACUCCGACUGCAGUGCCACUCGACAGAGUGAGUCUGACAGGCAGUCAGGCCUUGCCAAAGGCGCCAUAGCGAACUCCGCUCCGCCCGACCCCAGGGCUCGGACUCGGGCUAAGACCCGGAAGACGGCGAACUCCGCUCCGCCCGACCCCAGGGCUCGGACUCGAGCUAAGACCCGGAAGACGGCGAACUCCGCUCCGCCCGACUCAGGGCUCGGACUCGGGCUAAGACCCGGAAGACGGCGAACUCCGCCCCGCCCGACCCUAGGGCUCGGACUCGGGCUCAGCCCCUGAAGACGACGAAACUCUGCCUCGCCCGACCCCAGGGCUCGGACUCCGCCCUGGCUUCGGCCGAACGACCUCCGCCUGGCCCGACCCGAUGGCUCGGACUCGGCCUCGGCAACAGAAGACAGGCCCAACCUCGGCUUCGGAGGAGCCCCCAUGUCGCCCGACCUAGGGCGCAGGCCCGCCACGUCAACAAGGAGCGCCAUCAUCAUCCUACCCCGAGCCGACUCGGGUCACGGAGAACAAGACCGGCGUCCCAUCUAGCCAGCUCCGCCAGAUGGACAAUGAUGGCGCCCCACAAGCUCUGUGACGACGGCGGCUCUUAGCUCUCUUACGGAAGCAGGGCGACGUCAGCAAGGACUCGACCGCUCCAACAGUUGUCCCUCCGCCAGGCUCCGUCGCUCCUCCGACAGCCACGACAUCACGCCAGCAUGGUGCCAAGACCUCUCCGGCUGCCACAUUGGCAUGUACCUAGGGCGCUAGCUCUCUCUCCGCUAGACACGUAGCGCUCUACUACACCCCCAUUGUACACCUGGAUCCUCUCCUUACGACUAUAAAAGGAAGGACCAGGGCCUUCUUAGAGAAGGUUGGCCGCGCGGGGACGAGGACGAGACAUGCGCUCUCUUGGGGCCGCUCGCUUCCCUCACCCGCGUGGACGCUUGUAACCCCCCUACUGCAAGCGCACUCGACCUGGGCGCGGGACGAACACGAAGGCUGCGGGAUCUCCACCUCUCUCACGCCCGUCUCCGGCCACCUCGCCUCUUCCCCCCUUCGCGCUCGCCCACGCGCUCGACCCAUCUGGGCUGGGGCACACAGCACACUCACUCGUUGGCUCGGGGACCCCCCGGUCUCGAAACGCCGACAAUAAUCCUUCUAAAUUCUUCACGAGAUGAUCAGUUAGUAGAACCAAAGAUAAUGUCAUCAACAUAAAUUUGGCAUACAAGUAAAUCAUCAUCAAUCAUCUUUGUGAAAAGAGUAUGGUCCACUUUACCAACCUUAAAUGAAUUAACAAUUAGAAAGUCUCUAAGCAUUCAUACCAUGCUCGGCCAAUAAAAUCUGAAUAGACUGAAGCCUAGCUACGGGUGCAAAGGUUUCAUCAAAAUCCAAACCUUCAACUUAAGAGUACCCCUUAGCUAUAAGUUGGUCUUUGUUUCUUGUCACCAAACCAUGUUCAUCUUGCUUGUUGCGGGAAGACCCACUUAGUUCCUACAACAUUUUGGUUAGAAAGUGGUACUAAAUUCCAAACCUCAUUCCUCUUAAAGUCGUUGAGCUCUUCUUGCAUUGCCAUCACCCAAUCCGGAUCCUUCAAAGCAUCUUUGACCCUGAAAGUCUCAAGAGAAAACACAAAAUAGUAAUCUUUACAAAAAGUUGGAAUUCUAGAAUAAGUGAUUACUCCCUUAUGUAUGUCUCCAAGGAUCAUGUCCACCGGAUGAUCUCUUCAAAUGGUUCGGUGGACUCUUGGGUGAGGCACUUGGCUUCUUGGUGGUUGAACUUCCUCUUCAUCUUCAUUGUCUUGAUUUUCCUCAUCUCUCCAUUGAUUAUUGCCUUCUUAUUGAUUGUCUUGAUCUCCAUCUUGAGUUGGGGUUGAGCUUGAACGUGAGAUGGUUGAUCUUGUUCUUGUUGAGGCUCUUGUGGACACACAUCCCCAAUGGACAUGUUCUUCAAUGCGGUGCAUGGAGCUUCUUCAUCAUCAAGUUCAUCAAUAUUGACUUGCAAUUCUUGAGAGCCAUUCGUCUUAUCAAAACACAACAUCACAAGAAACUUUAACACACCCAGUGGAUUUGUUGAAGACCUAUAUGCCCUUGUGUUUAAAUCACAACUAAGUAAAAAUUGUUCUACGACUUUAGGAGCAAAAAUGGAAUUUAUAUCUCUCUUUACCAAAAUGUAGCAUUUGCUACCAAAGUCUCUAAAAUAUUAAAUAUUGGGUUUGUUACCAGUUAGGAGUUCAUAAGAGGCCUUCUUGAGGAGUCGGUGAGAUACAACCGGUUGAUGGUGUGGCUAGCUAUGUUGACCGCUUCUGCCCAAAACCAAUUUGAAGUCUUGUAUUCUUCAAGCAUAGUUCUUGCCAUAUCGAUCAAAGUUUGUUUCUUCCUUUUCACCACUCCAUUCUGUUGUGGUGAAUAGGGAGAAGAGAACUCAUGCUUGAUCCCUUUCUCCUCAAGAAAUUCUUCUACUUAUGUGUUCUUAAACUAUGUUCCAUUGUCGCUUCUUAUCUUCUUCAUUCUUAAGUUGAACUCAUUUUGAGCUCUUAUCAAAAAUUUCUUCAAGGUACCUUGGGUUUCAUCUUUAUCCCCACAAAAAGAAUAAUCAAGUGAAGCAUGUAUAGUCAUCAACAAUAACAAGACGAUACUUACUCUCGCCGAUGUUUAUAUAAGCAACGAGGCCGAAUAGAUCCAUACGUAGGAGAUCCAAUGGUCUUGAGGUUGUCAUGAUGUUCUUCGAGGGAUGACUUGCUCCAACUUGCUUUUCAGCUUGAUAUGCUCCACAUGGCCUAUCUUUCUCAAAGCAAACAUUGGUUAGUCCUAAAACGUGUUCACCCUUAAUAAGCUUAUUAAGAUUCUUCAUCUUGACAUAGGCUAGUCGAUAGUGUCAUAACCAACCCAUAUUGGUUUUGGAUAUUAAGCAUGCAUCAAGUUCAACUUUAUCAUUCAAAAAAUCUACUAGAUAAAGUUUUCCCUUUAAUACACCCUUAAAAGCAACUGAAUCAUCACUUCUUCUAAAGACCAUAACACCAGCAUCGACAAAUAAGCAAUUAUAGUCAAUUUGACGUAAUUGAGAAACAGAAAGCAAGUUAUAGUCUAGUGAUAUCACCAAGAAUACAUUGGAAAUGGAGUUCUCAGUGGUGAUAACAACUUUACCUAGACCUUUUACCUUUCUUUAACUCCCAUCCCCAAAUGUGAUCAUAUAUUAGGAGUCCUUAUUUUUUAUAAGAUGAGAACAUCUUCUCACCCGUCAUGUGGUUUGUGCAACUGCUAUCAACAACCCAACUUGUGCCUCUAGAUGCAUAAGCCUACAAAACAGAUUUGGGCCUUGUUCUUAGGUACCCAAAUAGGUUUGAGUCCUCUCACAUUAGUAACAAGCGCUUUUGGCACCCAAACACAAGAUUUGGUGUUCUUGUGCCUCGGUCCGACAUAUUUGGCAACAACCUUACCGAUAUUGUGAGUAAGCACAUAAGAAACAUCCAAAGUGUGAUAUGGUAAGCAUGGACCAUUUGAUGCAUUUGUUUAUUUGACAUUAGGCAUAUGAACAAUUUUAUCAUGAGGAACAUUAUGCCUAACAUGAGGUGUUCUAGCAAAUGGAGAAUGUACAAUAUGAGCAUGUGAAGCAUGGACAUUCUUAGCAUGAGCAUGAGAAUGAGAAACCAUAGUAUCAUUACCAACAUGACAAUAGCAUGAAUAGUAUGAACAAUAAGAACAAUGGGUGCUUUGUCCUUUUCCUUCACAAAUUUGGGAACUCUUGCCUACUAACUUUAAUUUUGGUGUUCUCUUUGCCUUCUUUUUGGAAGCCAGCACUGUUGGGGGUAUGCUUCGUAGCCGAAGAUCCUAAAGAAAGAGAACACCUUCGGCAUAUCCUAUCAGGAGCAGCGCCGAAGCUAUCACCUAUAAAGCUUCGACACAAUGAUAGAUCUCAAGACGAAGGGGUGAACCGACUUAAAGAUGAAAUGACUUAAAGACCCAUGAUGUGUUUGUGUCAUUAUUGUAGUCGAUUGUAAAGGGUAUAAAUGUAAUUUUACACAGGCUGCGCCCUGUGCCUAUAAAUAGAUGAACAGUACCUUUGUACUGUUCACACAAUCUUGUAACCACUAGCACAUUACGCUGGAAUUAUUGCUUUCUGCUAAGGCGAAGGUAUAAAUGUACCUAAAUAUUAUGUUUUAAUAUUUAGGUUCAUAUAAUAAAAUAUGUGAAUAAUAUUAUCUAUUUUUUGAUACAUCUUUCUCUAAUGUUUUAUAUUUCAUAUUUCAUUUUGCAUUGUUUUAUAAGUCUGAUCACGAAGGUGUGAUCUUCGUGAUAUUUUGCUCAUGGCUUUUGUCCGAAGUUCAUUAAAUCCUUGGGGAAAUAAUGCUUCAGUGGACGAAGGGCAUUUAUAUUUAACAUUUUAUGUUGCCUUGUUCUUAAUUCAUAGCAUUUGAGAACAAGUCCCCAACAUUGGCGCCCACCUCCGGUGAACUCACUUCCACUUUUUUGAGCUGAUGGCUUCGUUCAACAACCAAGCUGGAGCUGCUUCGGCUCCGAAGCUGGUACUCCCGAUAACAGGCGGUUCAUGCUCAGAGCCGACAAACAAAAAGCAGAAGAAGGAGGCACAGAGAAGGGUACAUCAUGUCGGGGUGCAAGGACCCUUCAUCAAGUCAAGAUGGUCCCACAUCCCAAUUACCUUCUCCCAAGAGGACCUUCAGCUCAAGGAUUACCCUCAUAAUGAUGCUAUGGUUAUUUCUUGUGUUAUCAAAGGAUUUCUGGUCCACAAUGUUCUGGCUGAUACAGGCAGUGCAGCGGAUAUUAUAUUUGCUAAGGCCUUCAGACAGAUGCAAGAGCCAGAGGAUAAGAUUCAUGAUGCUACACACCCUCUUUGUGGCUUUGGUGGAAGGCAAAUUGUAGCGCUUGGCAAGAUCACGAUGCCAGUGACCUUCGGAUUUGUCAACAAUACAAGGACUGAGCAAGUUGUGUUUGAUAUUGUCGACAUGGAAUACCCCUACAAUGCAAUCAUUGGUCGUGGGACACUCAAUGCUUUUGAAGCAAUUCUUCAUCCAGCAUAUCUUUGCAUGAAGAUACCUUCGGAUCAAGGGCCUAUUGCUAUUCAUGGAAGUCAGGAAGCUGCCAGAAAGCCCGAAGGAAACUGGACAGAUUCAAAAGCAAUCCAUAAUAUAGAUGGAGCCGAAGCUUGUGAGCAAUACAAGUACAUAAGGGAGAAGGCUGCUUCGGCUGAUCAGCCGAAGCCCAUGCUCUUAUGUGAAGAUAUAGUAGAGCAGAAGGUGCUGCUGGGAUCUCAAUUGUCUGAGGAGCAAGAGAAACCCCUAAUAAGGUUCCUGUUCAACAACAAAGAUGUCUUUGCAUGGUCAGCUAAUGAUCUAUGUGGUGUCAACAGGGAUGUUAUUGAACACUCGCUCAAUGUUGAUCCAUCCUUCAGACCCAGAAAGCAGAGGCUUCGGAAAAUGUCUGAUGACAAAGCCGAAGGUGCUCGGAAUGAAGUGAAAAGACUUCUCAGCGCUGGAGUCAUCAGAGAAGUAAAAUACCCAGAAUGGCUAGCUAACACUGUUAUGGUGAAGAAGGCCAAUGGUAAAUGGAGAAUGUGUAUUGAUUUUACUGAUCUCAACAAGGCUUGUCCAAAGGAUGAAUUUCCAUUACCAAGGAUAGAUUCUCUAGUAGAUGCAGCAGCUUCGUCAGAGCUCAUGAGUCUACUAGAUUGUUAUUCAGGCUAUCAUCAAAUCUGGAUGAAGAAGGAAGAUGAGCCAAAAACUAGCUUUAUCACCCCCAGUGGUACAUAUUGUUACCUUCGGAUGCCUGAGGGGCUUAAGAAUGUUGGAGGAAGCUUCAGCAGAAUGACAGCAAAAGUCCUUCAUUCUCAGAUAGGCAGAAAUGUGUUAACAUAUGUUGAUGAUAUCAUAGUAAAAAGCACGAAGCAAGAAAAUCACAUUGCUGAUCUACAGGAAACAUUUGCUAACUUUAGGCAAGCUGGCCUAAAGUUGAAUCCAGAAAAAUGUGUCUUCGGAGUAAAGAAGGGCAAAUUCCUUGGUUGUAUAGUUUCAACAAAAGGGAUCGAAGCUAAUCCAAACAAAAUUGAAACCAUUCUUCGGAUGGAGCCGCCAAGCACAAAAAAGGGGGCUCAGCGGCUGAUAGGAAGAUUGGCAUCUUUGAAUCGAUUUAUAUCUAGAUCAGCAGAGAGAAAUUUACCAUUCUUUGAAGUGCUGAAAUCGGCCGAAGUCUUUCAAUGGGGAUCAGCUCAGCAGAAAGCCUUCGAAGAGCUGAAGCAGUAUCUAAUAGAUCUAACGACGCUAACUCCACCAGCGCCAGGGGCUCCUCUACUGCUGUAUGUGGCAGCUUCGCACUCUGCAGUGAGUGCGGCGCUUGUCCUGGAGAAGCUUGAAGGACAAACUUAAAAGCAUGCCCCAGUGUACUUUGUCUCCGAAGUUCUCAGUUUAUCAAAGAAAAACUAUACAGAAUUGGAGAAGGUGCUAUAUGCUGUCUUAAUGGCCUCCAGGAAGCUUCGACACUACUUUCAAGCAUACCAUAUAAUUGUUCCUUCAUCACAGCCUUUGAAGGAUAUUAUGAGGAACAGAGAAGCUACUGGAAGGAUUGGAAAGUGGGCUGCGGAACUCAACGAAUUCAGUAUUGAUUAUGUGCAUAGAUCCUCAAUUCAGUCCCAGGCGUUAGCAGACUUCAUCGCUGAUUGGACGCCAGGGGCUCAGGAGGAAGAAGCAAGUAAAGAUGCUGAAGCUUGGACAGUGUUCUGCGACGGUUCCUGGGGAACCUUCGGGGCAGGUGCAGCUGCUGUUUUAGUUGCACCUUCCAAAGUUAGAACAUGCUAUGCAGUGAAACUUGAUUUCAGCUGCACAAAUAAUAUUGCUGAAUACGAAGCUUUGCUUUUGGGGCUUCGGAAGUUGAAGGCAAUGGGGAUAAGAAGGGUGGUUCUCAAAACUGAUUCCCAAGUUAUUUCUGGUCAUGUUGACAAGAGUUGUAAAGCAAGAGAUCCGAAGCUUGAGAAAUAUUUGGAUACAGUUCGAAGGCUUGAAGCUUCUUUCGAAGGGUUUUCUGUCAAGAAUAUUCCACGAGGAGAAAAUGAGCACGCUGAUCUGCUAGCCAAGUCAGCGGCACAGGGGCUGCCUUUGCCUUCGGAAGUAUUCUUUGAGACAAGAAAAGCACCUUCGGUGGAAUUUCUUGAAAGAGCAGUGCUCAAUAUAUCUCCUGUUCAUAGUGAAGAUUGGAGAACCGAGAUUAUAUCUUUUCUCCAGGGCAACUGCCUUUCAGAUGACGAAGCUUAUAACAAGAGAAUAGAGGCAAGAGCCCGACCAUAUGUAAUAAUAGAGGGGGAGUUAUACAAACAUGGAGUCUGUUCUCCAUUGCUCAAAUGCCUAUCCAGAGCUGAAGGUAUAGAAUUGAUGAAGGAAAUACACGCAGGCAUGUGUGGAUCCCACAUCGGAUCUAGGCCCUUGCUGAGAAAAGUUUUUUGUCAAGGAUUUUAUUGGCCGAAGGCAGCUUCGGAUGCAGCAGAAUUAGUGCAAAAAUGCGAAGGCUGUCAAAAAUGUGCAAGAGAUCAAAAACAGCCUUCAUCUCUGACUCAGUUAAUACAGCCCAUUUGGCCGUUGCAAAGGUGGGGCCUUGAUUUGCUAGGCCCACUUCCACCAGCACAUGGAAAUUUAAAAUAUGUCGUGGUGGUAGUAGAGUAUUUUUCUAAGUGGAUUGAGGCGAAGCCUUUAGCUACAAUAACUUCGGUCACCGUUCAAAAAAAUUUCUGGCAAAAUAUUGUUUGUCGCUUCGGAGUGCCGAAGGCUAUUACUGUGGACAAUGGAACACAGUUUGAUGCCGAAGCUUUCAAAGAGUUUUGUGAACAAAUUGGCACGAAGAUUCAUUUUGCAUCGGUUAGACAUCCGGAGUCAAAUGGACUUGUCGAAAGAGCUAAUGGCAUUAUAAUGACAGGAAUAAUAAAGUUAAUCUUCAAUCAGCCCAGGGGAAAGUGGCCAGAUGAAUUAAUCAAAGUGGUAUGGAGCCACAACACAACAAUGUCAAGGUCAACAGGCUUUACACCAUUCAAAUUGUUGUUUGGCGACGAAGCAAUAACCCCAGAAGAAGCUAAAGCUGGAUCAAUAAGAACAGUGGCUUUGACGGAGGACGAAGCUGAUUAUUCUAUGAAAAAAGAUGCUAUAGGAGGGAUCAGGCUUCAGGUUGUGGAGAAUAUCAAUAAAUAUCAAGCCGAAACAAUAAAAUGGCGUGACAGAAAAGUUCGGUUAAAAAAUAUCAAGCCAGGGCACUUGGUACUUCGGAGAGUUGCUAACCCAGAUACAGUAGGCAAGCUACAGUUCAAGUGGGAAGGACCUUUUCUGGUAGUAUCUUCGUCAAGACCCGGUUCUUACAGAUUGAAGGAUAUGGAUGACAACAACAUUCCUAGAUCUUGGAAUGCGGAUGAGCUUCGGCGAUAUUAUGUGUAGCUUGAUGUAAUCUUUUUUAUUUUUUCCUAUGGCACCCUUUUCCUUUCCAAAGGGGGAGAAAGGUUUUUAAUGGGGCCAUAGCAUGUAAUCUCUCUUUUUCUUAUUUCAGCUCUACAAGAGCAAUAUCCCCCAAAGAUGUAAAUGUAAAAGCUGAGCAUGCACCAUCGAGUGCAAAGAGAAAAGGAAAAAGAAGGGAGAAGCUCGAAAGACGUCCCUAAGGGGAUGCAGAGCACGACGAAGCUACAAAAAGCCAUUUCUAAGGGAGCGCAACGUAAGUUUUCUGCUCAAACGUCGUUCCUAAGGGAAUGCAGAGCUUACAACGAAAAGUCAACGCUGAUUCCGCCAAAAUAUAAGGCGAAGCGCGAAAAGUCAACGUGAUACCGCCGAAAUAGAAGGCGAAGAAGUUCAAAAGACAUUCCUAAGGGAAUGCAGAACUUACAGCGAAAAGUCAACGCUGAUACACCGAAAAAUAAGCGGUGAAGCCAAAAAAUAAACGGCAAAGAUACUUUGAUUAUUCCUAAUGGGAUGAAGGUUUUGGUUGUGGCUUCGUAUAUGUGUGUUUUGACAUUCAUUUGCACGGUACAUUUCAUCAUACAUUUGCAUUCAUAAACAUUCAUUUAGACAUAUAUAGGAUCAUCAUCAUCAUAACAUAGACAGUUGCUUCGGCUCUAAGGACAAGGCUUCGGAAAAAAGAAAAAAGAAGCAGUUUUAUGCUUCGCUGUGUACGAAAAGAAGGGAAGGUGUUUUUCGCCUUCGGCUCAAAAAUGCUAAUUUCGUUCACACCAAAGCAUUUUCUACAUUGAUGGAAAGGUAAGAAUAUAUUACAAGGUAUGGACAAAGUCCACAAAGUAAAAUUUAAUUACAUCAUUCUUUACAUAAGUUAUUACAAGAGUUUUUAGAGUUUUCUACAGACAUCUAUUUAAGCUUCAUCAAUAUCCAAGGAGCUUCGGCUUCGUCAUCCGUUAAGCUUUGGCUUCGUCUCCUUACUCCUCAGCUUCGGCCUCGGCUUCGUCAUCCUGUGUGAAUCAAAGUAUGGUAAGAAAAAUUUAAGCUUGAAGGAAGAAGUAGGCACAAGGUAUGAUUUUGUUACCGGCUUAAUAUGACUUCGAGCUUCAUCACCAGCUUUGCUUCGUCCACCCUUUGUCCAUACCAAUUUUAUAAAUCUAUUUGCUAUACUUCGGGCAAGGCUGGGAAUGUUAUUCAAAUCUGCUGGUGAUAAGCUAAAAUUGGGUCUAUUGAUAACCUUUCCGUGUUCGCAGUCAGACUUCAGAAAGGCAACAGCUGUGCCCCGAGAAGCUACCAGGGCACAAAAGUCACCAUGUCCAGCUAUAACUUCGUCAAGGUCAUCAAUUUCACCUUCGAUAUGUUUGAAGGCCCCUGGUAGGUCUUCAGACGAAGGAUUAAAUUUUUCGCUGCUGGCUCCAACCGAAUAGAAGACCUGUUUUAGCCGUUGAACACAUCGAUUACUGAAUUCCAAACAUUUAUCUUGAAGGCUUGCCAAUGAUUUUUUCAAAUCUAAAUUUUUCUGGACUUCGGCCUCAAAUUUUGCAUUAAGCUCUUGCUUUUCUUGUUCAAAGUGUUCUGAUUGGCAGAGAAGCUUCGUAUUCAAUUCUGCUAUUUUAGCUUCAGCUUCUGCCAAUAAGCCUUCGGUUGUCUGAAGCUCGAAGUCUUUCUUUUCAAUAGCAGUUGAUUGCUCUUUUAUUUUGCUCUCUAAAUUCUCAAUUAUAACCUCGUGUUUUUUAUCUUCCAAAUCCUGCUGCAUUUUCAAAGCUUUGCUCAGCAGCAUACUCUGCACAUAAACAACCUUCGUUAGAAAACAUCUUCGUUAUUAAAAACAAUAAAAGUCAGAGAAGAGUCUGUUUACCUUAAAAUUGGAAUAAAAUAAACUACCGACGAUGUGCUGUCGUCGGUAGCGGUUGAUAUCUGUUUUGAGCUUCGGGAAACCGAUACUCUUUGAUAGAGUACUGAUAACCUUUGCACCGGUCUGAUCCCGGACGCAGCCCAACCUUUCGUCAUCAAUGCCACCGAAGAGAAGUGCUCCCAGCCGGUAUUCGCAAGAUAUAGCAUAUUCUUUUAGUUCUUCUUUUUCAGCCUUUGUCAGUUCUUGACCAACUAAGUUUUGAAAGUUAAAAACUUCAUCUUCCGAAGUGUCUUCAGCUAUUUCUUUCUCCUUCUCGGGCUCUGGGGCCGUAGUCUCUUCGGUGGCUGCGGCAGCUUCUUCUGCGGCCAUGUCUAGCAGUAUUUUAUCUAUAUCAGCAAUCAUGCUUUCUAAAUGAAUAUCUUUGGCUCUGGUAGCUUUGGCAUUUGUGGCUUCCGAAGGUGCAGCUUCAGUAGCUGUCGUGCUUUCAACAGCCGGCGCCUUCGGAGCUGAAGCUCCUGGUGGUGUCCCUUCGAUGACUUCUGUCACUGUAAUGAUUCUUUGCUUUUUUGGCCUAGCUGCCUUCUUCGUUUUCACGGGCUCCUUUUCCUUCUAAAAAAGCUUCGUCAGUUGUGGCCCGAGUGGACUUAGCUUGACAGGCAAAGAUUCAGUCAUUACCUUUAAGAUUUCCCCUACUUCGGUAGCAGAGGGUGUUGCAGCAGAUUCUUCUUCCUCAUCAAUUGCUUUCUGCUUCGGAGCUGUAGCUUUUCUCUUCUUCGAAACACCUGUUUUCGGCUCAGGCUCUAACUUUUUCUUCUUUGGUUGUUCUUCAUCGUCUUUAUUCAGAGCACCAGCUACUCUUUUCCUCUUUUGACCUUCGACAUCCUUGUCUAGCUGCUCAUAAUCAGGGUACUCAAAAUCCAGAGCAUCCAUUACUCGGUUUAACCUUUGCUUCGGACGGGUGCCGAAGGCCGCAGUCAUCAAUUGAUCUUCUUUUUUAGAAUAAUUACCGAGUAUUUCAUUCCACAUUACUUCAUUUGUGUCCAGCCACUCUUGGCAAGGCAUUUUGAAAUGUUUCUUGAAUUUGUAAUGGUAAGGCAAUCGAACAAAUUCCCCCUUCUUCUUUCCCCCUUCAGCUUCGGCAUUUCCCACUCCUUCAAAGUUGGGAACACUCUGAAGGCCAAAAAUUCUUGCACUAAGUCCCUAGUGCCGAUAUGAUCUGCUAUAACUCGAAAUUCAGCCAGGGCGAUUUGGCUUGGACUCCCUGGUGUCAUGUCGCACCGGGGUCUGGUCUCUCCGAAGAUCAAUUCCAACGGACUCUGGACUAGCUUCUCCUUCUCUUCAUCAACUUUAACGUAGAACCACUUAGAUUUCCAGCCAGCUGGCCACUUGCUUCGGUAGCUAAUCACUGGAAAUUUUGUAGUCUUGCGAUAGGCAAAGUUAUAGCAGCCAAACUUUUCAUGUAGCCCAUCUCCUCUAGCUUUCGUCUGGUAAUGGAGCUCGUGCACUCGGCAGAAGCCUUCACCAAAUGGUUCUACCCCUUGGCUUUGGAGAGCCCAGAUAUAAACACUAAGCCUAACGAUAGCGUUAGGAGUUAGCUGAUGUAGGUAGAUCCCAAACUUCUUCAGCACAUCAACAAUCAUCUUGUUCAAAGGAAAUCUUAAACCCGCUUUAAAGAAGCUUUUAAAGACCACUACUUCAUCCUUUCCUGGCUUCGGAGUAGUCUCUUCCCCACCAAAACGAACCAGCUCUUUCUUCGCUUCAUUAAAAUAGCCCAAAUUCAACAGCUUAGGCAAAUCAUCUUCGGAGAUGGUGGAUUUCCCGAAGUCCAGAUGGCUGGGUUUACUUGGCACUGCGCUAUAAUCAUCUUCAGACUCAGUCUCCUCAACAUCAGCUUGCUCUGUUUCAGUGGCAGGUGCUUCCUCUGAGGCUACCAUCCCUGAGCGCUUCAUUACUUCGGAGAUUGGGGCAGUCUCUGUACCUUCAGCCUCCUCUCCGUCGCGUGUAACCCUAGCUGUGGAACGCACUCUAGCCAUAUGAUGAUUGAAUUUUUUGUUUUUUGAAUGAAGUUGAAAAUUUUUCUUUACUUUGCCGAAGCUCUUUCUUGUUAUGAAGCUUGAGCAAAGUAAAUAGCUUUGGUUGAGGAUGCAGCAAACAAGCUUCGGCUUUGGUCAAUAUUUUGGCAGCAAAACAGUGCAAUAGCAAUGAAUGUUGUGGUAACUUCACACCUACCCGUCUGUUUAUAUAGUGCCGUAGGUGGGAAGGUGAAUCGUCAAGGUCUUCUGCACCGAACAAACAGUCACCCGCACUCACUGAACGGUGGGCCACAGGGUUCGAGAAGGUGAAUCGCCAGGGCGCGCGUAACUGCUGCAAGAUGGGGCCACCUCGCGCGUGGAUUAUUUUAAUCGUUUCUCGCCAACGAGCUCAGGGAAGGUGUUUUUCGGAUCUUCGGCAUCCCGAAGCCUAGAAGACUUUUUCACGGAUCAAGCUCGUUACGAAAAACGAUCUAGCACCGCGAAGGGGCUACUGUUGGGGGUAUGCUUCGUAGCCGAAGAUCCUAAAGAAAGAGAACACCUUCGGCAGAUCCUAUCAGGAGCAGCGCCGAAGCUAUCACCUAUAAAGCUUCGGCACAAUGACAGAUCUCAAGACGAAGGGGUGAACCGACUUAAAGAUGAAAUGACUUAAAGACCCAUGAUGUUUUGUGUCAUUGUUGUAGUCGAUCGUAAAGGGUAUAAAUGUAAUUUUUACACAGGUUGCGCCCUGUGCCUAUAAAUAGAUGAACAAUAUCCAUGUACUGUUCACGCAAUCUUGUAACCACCGGCACAUUACGCUGGAAUUAUUGCUUUCUGCCAAGGCGAAGGUAUAAAUGUACCUAAAUAUUAUGUUUUAAUAUUUAGGUUCAUAUAAUAAAAUAUGUGAAUAAUAUUAUCUGUUUUUUGAUACAUCUUUCUCUAAUGUUUUAUAUUUCAUAUUUCAUUGUUUUAUAAGUCUGAUCACGAAGGUGUGAUCUUCGUGAUAUUUUGCUCAUGGCCUUCGUCCGAAGUUCAUUAAAUCCUUGGGGAAAUAAUGCUUCAGCGGACGAAGGGCAUUUAUAUUUAACAUUUUAUGUUGCCUUGUUCUUAAUUCAUAGCAUUUAAGAACAAGUCCCCGAAAAGCACCAUCUUUAAUCUCGAUGGUGUCUCCCACUCUACAAGAGACUCUGAGCAAAUUUAAAUAUCUCAUUUGCUAGUUCAUAGUUUCCAAUUUUAGCUUCCAACUUAAUAAGGGUUUCAUUUAAGCUCUUAAUCAUUGCAAUAUUGGCAACAUGGGCAUCAACAUCAAUAUCUUUGUAUCUAGUACAAACAGGAACAUGCUCAAUAGAAGAUGUGGAUGCAUGACAACCACUCAAUUUCUCAAUCUUAGCAUAAAGAUCAUCAUUUGCACAUUUGAGACUAGAAAUUGAAUCAUUGGAAACAUUUAGCUCACUGGUCAAAAUUUUAUUCUUUCUUUCUUAUGAGCUAGGGCCUUUUCAAGUUUCUCAUUUUUAUUUUUAUCAUCAAUGUGUAGAUCCUCUUGCUUCUCUAGGUGUUCAUCGUUCUCAUUGACGCCCUUGAUCAAUUCAUUCACUUUAGCAAUUUGAUCUCUACCAAGGCCUUUGAAAAACAUAUUCAUAUCUUCCUCAUCACUAGAAUCAUCAUCAUCACUAGAGAUAGUAUAUUUAGGAAGGUUCUUUUUGUAUACCUUCUUCUUACUCUAUUUUGCCAUGAGGCACGUGUGGUUGACCUUAGGGAAGACAGAGGUCUUGUUGAAGGCAAGGGUGGUGAGGCCUUCAUCGUUGGAGUUGGAGGAGCUCUGAUCUGAAUCCCACUCCUUGACAAUAUGGGCUUCGCCUCCCUUCUUGUUGUUGAAGAAUUUUUCUUCUCAAAUUUCUUCUUCCCCUUCUCCUCUUCCUUGUCAUCAUUAUCCGUUGCAUAUGGGCAAUUAGCAAUCAAAUGACUGAUCUUACCACAUUUGAAGCAUGCCCUCUUGCCGUGCGCUUGUAGUCUUUGUCUAAUCGAUUCAUUAGUAUUUGUCGGAAGCUCUUGAUGAUGAGGGUUGUCUCCUCAUCAUCAAGCCUAGAAACAUCGAUGGUUUGUCCUUACUUGGGCCUAGCCUCCUCCUUCUCAUUUAUUGCUGUUGGGGACUUGUUCUCAAAUGUUAUGAAUUAAGAACAAGGCAACACAGAAAGAAGUUAAUGGUUAAUGCCCUUCGUCCUUCGAAGCAUUAUUUCCCUUAGGAUAUAACGAUCUUCGGACGAAGGUCAUGAAGGACAUACCUUCAUCAUCACAGUUUAUAUUGAUGAAAGGAGAAGCAUAUGAAACAUAAAUAACAUGAAUAAUCAUAUAACAUUAUUUAUAUGUCCUUAUUAUAUAAUCAUGGAUGAAUAAGAACAACAUUGAAUUACAUUUAUACCUUCGGCUUGACAGAAGGCAAAAGUACAAGCAUGACGCACGAGCGAGUACAAGUCAGCGUGAACAGUACGGGGUACUGUUCAUCUAUUUAUAGGCACAGGGUGCAGCCUGUGUGAAAUUACAUUCAUGCCCUUCAUGUUUACUAUUGACUUAAUAACAAUCUAUCGAGGACUAGAUAGCCUUUUUCUCCUUAAGUUGGUUCCUUUUUCCACUGCUGAGCCGAAGCUCCCUUGCGCGCAGCUUCGGCGCUGGUUCAACCUUCGUUCCGACCAUGCUUUCCCUAUUGUGUACAGCUUCAUCCCGAGUCCGAAGGUUCCUGUACAUAUAUUAUGCUUGGGAAACAUUGUUAAUCAUGUUAUUGAGGACCUUCAGAAGACGAAGGCCCCCAACAGUAGCCCCUCGUAGUAUUAAUUUGUUAUAACAAUGAAUUCAGACUGCAACGUAAAUGAAGGGCUUAAGCAGAAGGUCCGAAAAAAUACCUUCCCUUUGCUAGAAUAGCAACAAUCAACGACAGCUGGGGCCCUCCAAGUUGCAGCGUGCUAGGCGUAUAAAUAUGAACUCACACCGGCAAUAUUUGAUACGCUGUCUCUGCCAUUUGCAUUAUUUUCUCAAAAUUUUAGCUCUUGCUCACUAGUGCUCGCUAGAUUUUCAAGCUUUUUGAGCUUCGAUUAAAAGAUGUGUUUUUACCAUGUCCGGGGAAAAAUGACUGAGAAGGUGAAGCUGACUGAGGAGACGAAGUUGUUUGAGGAGAAGAAGGUUGCGGAUCCUUAUAUUGCCGAACUUAUUGAGUCCAUGGCAAAAACAAAUACAGAGAAGAUUACUAAAGAGAUACUGGAAGGUUUAUCUGAAGAUAUUGUGAUAGCGAUAGCUAUGAUGUGGAAAGUGGGGAUAAAGAUUCUGAAGAUCGGCCCUACCGGCCAAGCCAUGCUGUCUUCGGAAAGUCGACCAUUAAACAGGGUCAUCUUGAGAACAUGAGAGGAAGGUACUUUCGAGACAUGUCUAUCGUGAGGGCUGGCGGAGACAACAACGUCCCUGCUCUUGAGGAAAACGAAGUUGUUAUAUACCGAAGUUUUUUAAAGCUGGACUUCGAUUUCCUUUGAGCAAGUUUGUAGUUGAAGUGCUGAAGAUCUACCAGAUCUUCCUUCAUCAGAUCACCCCCGAAGCUAUAAUGAGGAUGGGCAUUUUUGUCUGGGUUGUAAGGAGUCAGGGGCUAGAGCCAAGCGCGAAGUACUUCUGCAAUAUGCACGAGCUCUUAUAUGAGACGAAGGCUACUGGCAAAGAACAGUAUCACAACAACUUCGGUUGUUAUGGAUUUAUUGCUCGCCCCAACGCAAGCCACCCGGUGCCAACAUUUCGGAAGAGAUGGCCCGGAGCCUGGAUGGAAGAGUGGUUUUAUGUGAAGAAUGAUGUAAAAGCAAGGGAAGACAUUAAAGAAAUCAUCCAACGCCCCAUCUGGUCCCGCUUCGGCCUCCGAAGGCCGAAAGUGGAAAUUGAUGACGCUGUUGAAGCGUGUCAGAGGGCUUUCAGCACUGUUUGCUCCUUCAUUGGCACAAGAGAUUUGAUUCAAGAACAUAUAGCCUUCAGGGUAUGGCCGCUUGUGGAAAGCUAGGAAAUACCGAAGGAGACCACUGCCGACUCUGGUGAGGGUGGUCUGGUCCGACUAAAGUAUACCUUCAAAUUUAGGGAGAAGUUUGAUGAGCCAAACGAUGACUGGUUGAAGUGCAUCGAAGCUACCAGUGAUGAGCUGCUUGGAGCAUACUCCAAGGCUGACGAUAAUGCCAUGUCCGCAGCCUUUGGUGAUCGGGGCAAGAAAAGAUUAAACAGGGUAUUUGAUGCUAUUGGCUUCGUAUACCCUGAUUACCGCUAGGACUGGGCAUAAAACCCGAUACCCGAAUCCCGAACCCGAAAAACCCGAACCCGAACCCGAAAUACCCGAACACGAAAACCCCGAAAUCUAAUUUGGGUAUAACCUCCCGGUACCCGAAAUUUUAUAGAGAAUUUCGGGUUCAAUUACCCGGUACCCGAAUAGGAAACUAGUACCCCGAAUACAACACAAGGAACAAGGCCCAAUGGGCAAUGGCCCAUUACGGACAAGCAAAAGCAAGGCGCAUGCAAUCAGUCCAGACUCCAGAGGCCUCUCAGCUCCAGCGGUCCAGGGCGAGUAGCUAGGCGACCUCCGACCUGUCCAUCCAAUCCAACCCUAGCUAGCAGCAGCCGCCGCCGUCGAGCAAGGAGCACCAGUCCACGGUCCGCCACCACGCCACCGCGCCGUCCUACCACUGCCGACCAUCCAGCACCGAGCCGCGUACGGCAACGCCCAGCUGACCGCCGUGCCGACCGCGUGACUAUCAGGCGCGGAGGCGCCCAGGCUGAUUUGCGCGAGCCUAGCACGGUGCCACGGUGCACGCCCGACCUGCGCUCGACUGCCCGGUGCCGAGCUCGUGGUGUAGUGAAGCCAACAUUGAAGAACGGCACCAACAUCGGAGGAAUCUUGCAACGUAUGUGCUAACUGCUAAGUGCUCAAUUCUUGGUUUUUUUGUUAUAACAGAUUUGAUCUAGCAUAUUUUUGUUUUAGUAAAUUUGUUCUAGCAUAUUUGAUCAGUAGAAAUAGUAGUUCUUAAUAAUUUAAUAUGAUUUGAUCUAGCAGAUUUUUGUUCUAAGUCUAACACAUUUGUUCUAGCAGAUUUGAUCAGUAGAAAUAGUAGUUCUUAAUAUGAUUUGAUCUAGCAGAUUUUUGUUCUAACACAUUUGCUCUAGCAGAUUUGAUCAGUAGAAAUAGUAGUUCUUAAUAUGAUUUGAUCUAGCAGAUUUUUGUUCUAACACAUUUGUUCUAGCAGAUUUGAUCAGUAGAAAUAUUAUUUCUUUAAUUCCUUACUAUGUGUUUCCUUUUUAAUAGAUGCCUGAACCUGAAGACAUAUUGGACAAGGGCAUGGAAUCAGUGGGCACUGGCACUCUAGACAAUGAUGGGACACAAACACAACCAUCACAAUCACAAGGGGCUGCUGAUCAAGAGGUGGUUGACCUUGACAAGGAUUGUGCACAACAUGAAAGGAAGAAGAUGGCACCAAGAUCAGAUGUGUGGAACCAUUUUAGCAAGAUCAAAGAUGAUAAAGGCAUUAUGAUAGCUGCAAAAUGCAAGUAUUGCCAUCGCAACAUGAAAGCAGACUCCAAGGGACAUGGAACAUCUGCCUUGAAGAGACACCUUCAAAGUUACAAGCACAAUCCUAACAAGUUUGAAAAAGAUGGAAAGCAAGGAUAUUUACAAGCAAUACAAGGGGAAGGUGUUUCUACUUGGAAGUUUGAUCAAGAUGCGCUUAGGGAGGCCUUCGCUGAGAUGAUUAUUGAAGAUGAGCUGCCUUUUGCUUUUGGUGAAAAGCCUGGCUUCAAGAAAUUCAUGUCUAAAGCUUGCCCACGUUUCCAAGCACCAUCUAGAAGAACAUGCACUAGUGACAUAGUGUCCCAAUUCUUUCGAGAGAAAGCCAAAGUAAAGUCUUUUUUUAGAGACUCAUGUCAAAGAGUUUGCUUGACCACAGAUUGUUGGACUGCCCAACAACAAGAUGGUUAUAUGGCAGUGACUGCAACUUUUAUAUAUGAGAAUUGGAAUUUGCAUAAGAAAAUCAUUGGAUUUUUUAAGGUUAAGGGACACAAGGGAGAAGAUAUUGGAAAAAGUUUGUUGAAAUGCCUGACUGAAUGGGGAUUGGAGAGAGUGAUGACAAUAACAGUUGAUAAUGCAUCAGCCAAUGAUACCGGUAUUGCUUAUUUGAGGAGGCACCUAGGAAGAACCCACGUAGCAAAAGGCAACUUUUUGCACAUGAGGUGUGCUGCCCAUAUUAUUAACCUUAUUGUGCGAGAUGGUUUGAAAGAAGUGGAUAUCUUAGUGAAGCGUGUUAGAGGUGCUAUUAGAUAUAUCAAAGAUGGGACUUCAAGAUUGGUUAAGUUCAAAGAAAUUGCUGAGGAAGAGGGGUUGAACACAAAGGCAUUUCUAAAGCUUGAUGUCCCAACUAGAUGGAACUACACCUAUCUCAUGCUUAAAGCUGCAAUUGCAUAUGAAAAGGUAUUCUUAAGGUUGAUUGACGAGGACAAUAACUAUUGUAUAGACCUUUCUGAAGAAAGGAAGGGUAAUGGUUAUCCUGAUGAAGGUGAUUGGGAGAAUGCAAAGAAGAUGGCAGAGUUUCUUGAGCAUUUCCAUGACCUUACGGUACGUGUUUCAUCUAGUCUACAUGUGACUAGCAAUAGUUUCUUUCAUGAGAUUGGUGAAGUCCACUUGCUUAUUAAGUCUUGGAUGAGUAGUCAAGACAAUCUCCAAGUAUCAAUGGGCAUGAUAAUGAAGGAAAAAUUUGACAAGUAUUGGGGGGUUUGGCACACAAACAAUAAGGAGAAUGAGUAUGUGCAAGAGAUGGAGUUGGAGAAGGAGAGGGGAAAGGCGAGGGAAAGGGAAAGGAGAAGGAUAAAGAGAACAUUAAUCUACUCAUUUUUGUUGCAGCUUUUCUUGAUCCAAGAUACAAAUUAUCUAUGUAUACGAAGAUUAUUGUUGAGGAGAUAUUUGGUGAGGACAGGGGCCAGUUAGUUUGGGCAGCUAUUAACUCUUGUGUCCGUGAGCUGUUUGAAGAAUACAAAAAUAUUUAUGCUCCAACUGAAGUAACAACUGAAGUAACUGAUCCUAGUGAAGCAAAGGGUGGUAGAGGAGGCAAACUUAGAGAAGUAAUUGCCAAGAGGAUGAAGAUGACCAACUAUUCUAGUAGCACAAUGAAGUCAGAACUUGAAAAGUAUCUAACUGAAGAGACUGAAGACACUGAUACAAAGAUUGACAUACUUUUUUGGUGGAAGGUAAAUGCACAUAGGUUUCCUAUUUUAGCUCACAUGUCCCAUGAUGUGCUUGCUAUUCCUAUCUCAAUAGUGGCUGCAGAGUCUGCUUUUAGCACGAGUGGACGUAUCUUAGAUGACUUUCGUACAUCGCUAACUCCUUUCAUGCUGGAGGCACUUGUAUGUACCCAAGACUGGUUGAGAAGGACUACUCCAAUCAACAUCCAAGAGAAUAUGGAGGAAUUAGCCAUGAUUGAAGCAGGUAUAGUCAAUAUUCACCAUUGUAGUGUAAUUCAUGUAAUUGUUAUAUUAAGUUAUUAACUACAUCUUUGACUAGUUGAAUUCAUUUUAUAAUAGAUUUAAUUGAAUAAUUUGGUGGGAAAGGAAAAGGGAAAGAAAAUCCUACCACUUCCAAGUCUCAAUCAACGCCAAGCAGCAGUAGAUGUCCUCCCUCUAAAUCUGAUGAAAGACCUGCUACUUAAGGUUUGAAAGCACUUAUGUUUUACUUUAUCAUUAAUUUCUUUGUGUGCUACUGCUUACUUCUAUGAGCAAAAUGGUUGACCUGUAGCCUUUCAUACAUUGGUCAUGCAAUGGAGGAUUGGAGUCUAGAGGUUGCAGCUUACAAGUUACAAGAUCACAAAAAGCCUAGAGGUUGCAGCUUACCAGUCCACGGUCAGCAAAGAGUUGUGUGAGGCUGUGAGCUGUGUGUAAUAACUUGACAGUUGAGAACUUGAGACUGUAUGUUUGUAUGUGUGAUUUGCCUGUAGCUGUCUGUCUCACUGUCUGUAGCAUUUUAUUGCCUGUAGGCUGUAGCUGUGGACCUGUGGUUUUUUAUUGCUGCUGUUGUGCUGUCUGUAGCUGUGUUAAAUGGAUUUAUUGCCUGGAAAGACAUGUUAUUGCUAUCGUUUCUUUCCCGUGUAGGCGUGUCGCAUGUCUGCAUUUUAUUGCUGUCUAUAGCUGUCCAGAUUUAUUGGCUGAAAGUACAUUUUAUUGUUGUCUACAAUUUCGGGUACCCAAUUUUUAUUGCCUGUUAAACCGGCAGAUUUAUUGCCUGUACAUUUUAUUGCCUGUUAAAUCGGGUAACUGUAAAUUACCCGAACCCGAUUUUUUGAGUACCCGAAUUUUCGGGUACCUGACAAAAUCGGGUCGAGUUCGGGUUCGACUGUUCAAUACCCGAAUUUUUUAAAACCCGAAAAACCCGACCCGAAUUUUUGGGUAUACCCGAAUGCCCAGUCCUAAUUACUGCUACCUGCUGCGAGGACAAGAGAAAAAGAGGAAGAUUGCUGCUUCGGUCACCCCAGCUGAGCCUGUGCCGAAGAGCAAAAAGGUGAAGGUUCUGACCCACCGGUCGCGUUACAUUGAACCAGCUGUGGUGCCUGAAUUUGGCGCAAGGUCCACUUCAGCAGCCAAAGCAACACAGACUGCUUCGAUUACACAGAGCGCCGAAGAGCCGAUCGUAAUGUCGAAGACGCAUACAGUCAAGGCACUCGAAGAUAAGGUUGAUAAGGCCGAAGAGCCAUAGGUUAAAGAAAUAAUAAGGAUGCCAAAAAUUCUGAGCCCUCCGACGAAGGCAAAUCUGCCGAAGAUGCAAAAGGAUUUUGCCGCAACUCCCAAGAGGAGAAGGAUGGCCAACGUAUUGGAUGUUGUGCUGGAGACUACAAAGGCGUUGAGCCUUGCUCCUGCAAAGAAAAUUGCUCAAACUGAAGCCAAAUCACAGGCUGAAGCCGAAACCAGGCAAGCAGAAGCCGAAGCUACGCAACCUCAAGCUGAAGUCGAAACUGGGCCUUCAGUGCUCAUCGAGACAAAGCCUGUCGCGCCUGAAGAAAAAGCGGCAGAGCAAAUUGCUCCUGAAAAGAUCGAGACUCUUGCUCCCGAAGCUUUGAUUGAAAAUAUUGACUACAUCAUUCGACACGCUUCGGGGAAGAAGUUGUCCAAAGAAGAAAUUCUGGAAGCUAGGCACUAUGCGCGAAAGUUGAAAUAUCCGAAGGGAGCCUUGGUUUUUAACGGGAGUAAUGAAGAUGAUUUCUUAUACUGUCUCCCGGACAACAAAGAAAUAUUCGUUUGCCAGGAGAUAGGUAGAAGCAUGGGAUUCCCGAAGCUGGAAGACGACCUUUCAAUUUUGUCGAAGGACGACCUUGCUGACAGCCUACCAUACAACAAUAUAAAGGUAUAGAAGUUAACUUUGAAUUUGAGAAUGAGAUAUUUCAUUUGUCAUUCUAAAUUCUUUCCUCCUCUUGUAGGGCUUAAUUCUUAGUAAUGCCCUUAGGGCGCAGAAAAAUAUUGAAGACGAAGGCUAUACGAUGGAUCUGAACAACCUUUGUUCAGAAGUGAUUGAAUUGAGAAACGAAGGUCUUGAAAAAGACAAAAUCUUAAUUUCUCUGAUAAACAAAGUGAAGGAAGACGAAGCUAGUUUCAAAGCUCAGGCCGAAGCCCAAAAGAUUGAAAUUGAAGACCUUCGGAGGCAACUGGACGAAGCUAAGGAAAAAAGCGCACUCGCACAAGCUAACCAAGAAAUUAGUGAAUAUUGGAAAAAUCAUCUAGAGAAAAAUGUUGAAGAACUUCACACAUCCAAGGAAAGGUGCUUUGAAAAAUCCUUGGAUUGCGUAAAUAAAAUAAAAGCUAGCUUCGCCAAAGUGGGUGCCUAUUAUGCUGAAGAAAAUUUCAUACGAGGCGACCCCGAAGGCGUUGUUGAAUGGAUAAGUAGAGAAGCCGAGACCUUCGAAGAAAUUUUGAGUGAUUGCGGGGAUGUUUGCGCAUUUUCUGGUGCGUGGGGAAUUUCAGCCAUCUUGGAGAAGGCGGGAUGUGAUCAUAUUAAGACCAUGGCCCAGGCCGAAGCUGCCUUCUCCGUAGAUGAUACGAAGGAUCCUUCAGCUGAAGCAACCUUGAUGGGCGGGAAAUUUUACAAUGAUGUCUGGGUGAAUGGUGGCCGAGAGAUGGCCCAUGAAAUUAUAAAAAAAGUGAAAAAAGACACCCAAGACGCCCGAGCAAAAGCAAGGCGAGCUGAAGAAGCUGCAGAGCGCGAAAAGCGUAUAGGUAUUAUUUUUGGUUUUUAGCUUUGGCAUUUUGUUUUUGUGGCUUCAGACUAAUUAAUUUUUCCUACUUCAGCUGAAUUAUCUCCGCCGCCGGAACCGUUCGAUCCCCUAGCUGAUCCAAAAAUGAAGGAAGCGUUGAACAUCAUAAACAUGGUUGAAUCCCUCGUCGACGAAGUGGUCAACAAAUUGUUGAACGAAGUUGCAGAGAAAAUUCUUAAAGAGGACUAGAUUUAAUUGUAUUAAACAUUUUGAAAAGCUUGAUGUAUACAACAAAUGAAGGAAGAUUAGGUUUCUAUUGUAACAAAACUAUGUAAUAUUUAGAGUGUUGAAUUGAAUAUGUAAAUUAUUGUAGUUUAUUUCUUUGCGAUGCAUGAAAUUUACGCACAUAUCGUUUUUGAGCCUUCGGCGAAAAAACACCUUCCCUUCUUUUCAUGCUUCAUGAAGAAAAAGAUCCAUGCUUCGUAAAUAAAGAUAUACGUGCUUUGUAAAAAGAGAUUCUUUCUUGUAACAAGGCUGAUAAAACUGUAUCUUCCCAAAACUUACUCCGUGCCUUAGCACCUUUUAAUUUUGACGAAGCAUUUGCCGAAGAUGAGCUUCGUAUUCAAUUCUCGUAUCAUUGAUGCAAUAUGAUGUAUGAUGUGAUGUUAUACGAAAUGAUGCGAUGAUAUGAUGCAAAAUGAUGAGGAUGCCGAAGACACACACCCACACGCCCAUACUGAAACACACAAGCUCUGCAUCCCCUUAGGAACGACUUUUAAGCUUUUUCACCUUCUAUUACGGUGAUAUAAGUUCUGCAUCCCCUUAGGAACGUGUUUUGAACUUCUUCGCCUUCUAUUUCAGCGGUAUAAGUUCUGCAUCCCCUUAGGAACGACUUUUGAACUUCUUCGCCUUAUAUUUCGGCGGUAUUUGGCUCUGCAUUCCCUUUGGAACAACUUUUGAGCAGAAAACUUACACUGCGCUCCCUUAGGAACGACUUUUUAUAGCUUCGUCAAUUUUAGCUCUGCAUUCCCUUAGGAACGUCUUUUGAGCUUAAAACUUACGCUGCGCUCCCUUAAGAACGACUUUUUUAGUAGCCUCGGCAAAUUUAGCUCUGCAUUCCUUUAGGAACAACUUUUGAGCUUCGUAAUUCUGUGAGGAAGAUAUAUUUCAUUCUGAUAGAAGCAAAAUCAUUACAAAAUUUUAAAACUAAAUUUGCAUUACUUGCUCCUUAUUAAAAAGCAAAAUGGCAUAGAACACAAAAGCAUUUCAGAAGUAGGAUAUCGCUCAGUAUAUGUGCUUUGAUUCUGGUACAGUACUAUUGACUGUACGAGCUUCGGGCUCCUCCCUGAAGUCACGUUGUUGUUGGGAGUGCUGGCGCCCUUCUGGCUGCUGGCUUCGGGAAUAUGUAGGCUGCAGGGGUGGUGGCGGUGGGAGCUGAGGCCAGGAAGCCUGUGAAUGGCUUGCCAAAGCAACAGAAACUGCAGGUUGGUUGCCCACAUAUUCCGGUAUGUAGGGAGAGUAGCACGAAGCAGUAUGUAGGACUUGCUUCGGUUGAUUGUGCCGAGCUUCUGCUUCGGCAAUCUCCUUUUGCUUUAGGGUAGUGAUCUGGCAGGUUCUUGUAGUGUGGUCUUUGUCCUCACCACAGAAUAAGAAAUAAAUUUUCCUGGGCUGAUCCCCAUAUCUUCCUCCGAAGCUCCUGUUGCCUCUGCCCCUUGGAGCUGGCGGUCUGAAGGAGCUUUGCUGCUGUCCCGAAGAUUAUGAAGCGUGAUGUCGUCUCUGAAGCUGGCUUCCUUUGUCAUCAUUCUGACUGGAGCUGUGAAUUGAUCUGACAUGCCUAGAGUGGAUUCUCCCUCCGAAGCCCCUAGUCAUCUCAGAAAAUUUGUAAGCUUCCUCCCUUCUUUGUCGGAAGUCAUUGUCAGCCCGGAUGUAUUCAUCCAUUUUUUGAAGCAGCUUCUCCAGAGUUUGAGGAGGUUUCCUGGCAAAGUACUGGGCCGUAGGUCCUGGCCAAAGACCCUUGAUCAUGGCCUCAAUAACAAUUUCAUUGGGCACUAUGGGCGCUUGUUCUCUCAGUCGCAAGAACCUUCGGACAUACGCCUGAAGGUAUUCCUCAUGGUCUUGCGUGCACUGGAACAAUGCCUGAGCUGUGACUGGCUUCGUCUAAAAGCCCUGAAAACUGGUAACCAUCAUGUCUUUGAGCUUCUGUCAUGACGUGUUUGUCCCUGGCCGAAGAGAAGAAUACCAUGUCUGGGCCACAUUUCGGACUGCCAUGACGAAGGACUUUGCCAUGACAGCUGUAUUGCCUCCAUAUGAGGAUAUUGUUGCCUCAUAGCUCAUCAAGAAUUGCUUUGGGUCCGAGUGCCCAUCGUACAUGGGUAGCUAGGGUGGAUUGUAGGAUUGUGGCCAUGGAAUGGCCUACAAUUCUGCUGCCAGGGGAGAAGCAUCAUCAAAAGUAAAGGUACCAUGAUUAAAAUCAUCAUACCAUUCAUCUUCGUUGGAAGAGCCCUCUUGACGAAGCUCCCUGUGUUGAGGCCUUCGGUCAUGAUCAUCUUGAGUGAGAUGAGACACUUCCUCAGUAGCUUCAUCGAUCUUCCUCUGAAGGUCGGUCAGCCGAGGCAUCUUCUCUUUCUUCCUUUGCACCUGCUGGUGGAUGAUCUCCAUGUUCCUGAUCUCCUAGUCCAACUCCUCCUCCUGAAGUGUUGGACUGGUGGCCUUUCUCUUUUGGCUUCUAGCCUCUCGGAGAGAGAGAGUCUCCUGGUUUGUGUCCAGUCGCUGCAGUGCAGCCCCUGGCGCUGUUAUCUUCUUCGGCGGCAUGACGAAGGUUGAUACUUUGCCGAAGAUUGUGGAAGUGAGUACAACAGAGGUGGGCGCCAAUGUUGGGGACUUGUUCUCAAAUGCUAUGAAUUAAGAACAAGGCAACAUAGAAAGAAGUUAAUGGUUAAUGCCCUUCGUCCUUCGAAGCAUUAUUUCCCUUAGGAUAUAACGAUCUUCGGACGAAGGUCAUGAAGGACAUACCUUCAUCAUCACAGUUUAUAUUGAUGAAAGGAGAAGCAUAUGAAACAUGAGAAAUAACAUGAAUAAUCAUAUAACAUUAUUUAUAUGUCCUUAUUAUAUAAUCAUGGAUGAAUAAGAACAACAUUGAAUUACAUUUAUACCUUCGGCUUGACAGAAGGCAAAAGUACAAGCGUGACGCACGAGCGAGUACAAGUCAGCGUGAACAGUAUGGGGGUACUGUUCAUCUAUUUAUAGGCACAAGGCGCAGCCUGUGUGAAAUUACAUUCAUACCCUUCAUGUUUACUAUUGACUUAAUAACAAUCAACCGAGGAUUUGAUAGCCUUUCCCUCCUUAAGUCGGUUCCUUUUUCCGCUGCUGAGCCGAAGCUCCCUUGCGCGCAGCUUCGGCGCUGGUUCAACCUUCGUUCCGACCCUGCUUUCCCUAUUGUGUACAGCUUCAUCCCGAGUCCAAAGGUUCCUGUACAUAUAUUAAGCUUGGGAAACAUUGUUAAUCAUGUUUUUUAGGACCUUCGGAAGACGAAGGCCCCCAACAAUUGCCUUGAAGGCAACGACUUGCGAAGCGAUGGAGGUGAUGUUCCCUUGCUCUAAGUCAUCGAUGUGCUUGGAGUCCUUUACCAUCAUCUUGUGCCUAAGGAACUUUCCAAACACCUCUUUCGGUGUCACAUUCUUGUACUUAGAAUUUUCAUGAAUCAAGGUAGCAACAAUAGUAUUACGAGGGGUAAAAGACCUUAGCAUUAGCUGAACGACUACGUGAUCCAUCCACUUAUUGCUCCCAUCAUUGCAGACUUGUUCACCAAGGACUUGAUCUAGUUGUACUUCUCUUGUGGCCCUUCUCUCUUGUUCUUGGCGAACCUCCCAAGCUCCCCUUCUAGGAGCUCCAUCUUGGUGAUCUUGUCACCUUCGUGCGCCAUCUUGAGUGUAUCCCAAAUUUUCUUGGUGCUCUCCAACCUGGUCACCUUGUUGUAUUCUUCCCUACACAAAGAGACAAGUAAUACCCUUGUCGUCACUAUUAGGUAUCUCCAUUCCUAGUUCAACAACACCCCAAAUACUGGAUGGACUGAGUAUAAAUGUCCCUUCAUUUUAUGACUCCACUAAGAACAAUCUUCACCAUCAAAGUCUGGUGGUUUUCCAAGCAAAACGGAAGUAAAAGGGUACUUGUAUUGCGAGGAAUGCGAGACUAAUCGAAAGAUGUUGUAGAAUAGUUUGGUUUAACCAUCUUUCGAGGAUGGUGACGCUUGGAAGUCGAUAGCGAUGUUGAAGUGUCGAUAUCGCAGUAGGCAACCUUCUUGAUCUUUUUCUUCUUGCUAUCCCUCAUCAUGUAGGACUUGGAACCUGAGUCAAUGGAUUCCUCAUGCCUUCUCCUUGUGCUUCUCUCCUAAGGGGACUUUUUUUGCUAUGGAGGGAUCCUUUGUCCAACAUCAUUUUGAGUUGUUAGACCCUAAAUUAAGUCUCAAGCUCUAAUACCAAUUAAUAGUCGCCUAGAGGGGGUGGAUAGGCAACACCUAGAAUUUAAACACUUAAAACAAAACUAUAUCCCAAAUUAGUGGUUAUAGACAGAUGAAAUAGAAUUCACGAAAGGGAGAUGAGUUCUCUUGCACUUGUUGCUUAUAAGGAUGCAAGAUUAACUUGGAGAGCAACUCAAGUGAUUCAUAAUGAAAGAUCAAAGCAAGAGAACUUAGAGAGGAAGAGGGAAGAACAAAUCACAACAAAAGAAAACACACACAAAGACAAGACAAUUUGAUUUACUACAGUUCGAUUCCAAAGAACCUACAUCUCCGUUGAGGUGUCCCAAAGGACAAGGUUUCUUUCAACCCUCUCAAGCAAUUCGAACGAUCAAGCUUGAGCCCUCUAUAUCUUUUGAGAGAUGAAAGAUAGUCUCUGUAAGGCACUUCACAAACUUGGAGCCUCUUACUAGCUUUUACAAUGAUGAAACACUAGACACAAGAGCACAAGAUCACAACAACACAAAGCACUCACACAAGACACUAUCAAGAACAACUCCAGAAUAACUAUCUCUUGCACUAUUCUCACUAAUGGCACUUGGGAGGCUAUUUGAUCUCUAUGAGGUGUUUUUCUAGCUUAUAGGAGUUGAAUCACAACUCUUUUGUACUUUUGAGGCUAGUUGGGGGUGUUUAUAGCCCAACCCCUCAAUUAGAUGUUAUGUGAGAUCCCAAACAUUUGCACCUACCUUGGGUGCAUCAGACCGGUCUGGUGCACCACCGGACCUUCUAUUAGCCCACGUAAUCAACGGAAAGCUGACAUGUCAGGUGGCAUCAUUCCAGUGCACCACCAAACUCCACAACAUCAUCCACCAUGUCAUCUAGCCAUUGGAGUAGGAACUAGCCAUUGAACUUGAAAGGUUCAGUGCACACUAGACUAGUCUGGUGUGCCAUGUGCUUCAUCUUCUUCAUAAGCGACAAUUCCACGUAAUUGGUCCAGUGCAUCAAGCCACCAUAGCCAUGUAGAAGUUCUUUCUGCGUAAGUGAUCUAAUGCAUCAAGCCACAGAAAACGAGAAACGCCUUCACUGUGUGCUCGGUUCGCGCCACCGAACUGGUCCGGUGCAACGCAAACCUACUAGAAUUAAGUCCAAACUAGCUGGAUGCCCGUGCGUUGCAACGGGAAUAUAUAAUAUCAGUAUACUACGAUAACUUAUAUACAAAAUCUGUGUUAUACUGUUAUGAGAAAAUGUUUUAUAAUCAAUUUGUGAUCCUAGCCAUACAUAAAUUUUGUUAUUUUAAUCUAGUUAUUUCACCACUACAUUGCAACCAUCAGUAUCAUGCAGACUUCGAUAUAUGUCAGGAUUUGUAUGGUCUCAUCAUUGGAGAGCACGUUCCACACAUGCCGGAAAAAUUCCCUCGUACAUCGUUAGUCAUCAGACACGCACCACCAUAUGCUCUUGCUUAAACAAAAAGGUAAGUGUGUAUGUGUUUGCGAAGAGAAUUAAAGGCAGGCCGGCACAAAAGCUACCCUGACGGUGGCGAGGAUGACGAACUGGUCACUGUUGUCGAUCCUCCUCUGUGUCACCUCCGGUGCCAAGAUGACGCCACAAUCCUCGAUAUAGUAGUCGUCGAAUGCACGCGACAUGACGAGUACCGAUGACUCUUGGUUGGGCUGCCAAACAAAGUGCACCCCGGGCUCAUCAGCGAGGUAGUACCCCUGCCCGUUGCACCACCAGAUGCGCUAUUCCACUACAUACAUCAUGUUCGAGGACACUCACACAACGUCAGCAACGUCCAUCGUCCCAGCGCACAAGAAUUCAUGUCCGGUCAGUAGCGACUUACGUGGCAGGUUGGGCUUCAGGUGGACGAUGAGCUGGACGGCGUGAUGGCGUCGUCGUCGGAUGCGGUGUCCAGAACAACCCGAGAGUCGUCGACGUUGGCGACAACCAUGAGGCCCCCUGCUUAACGAUGGACAGAGCGGUGCAGCUGCUCUGGACCGCGUCCAAGCGGCGGCUUCGCGGGAGCUUGUCGUACACAGCGGCGCAUGCGACCACGUAAGACUGCUUUUAGAGGUCGAACUGACAGUCGCCAAGCUUCUUCUCGUCAUCGAUGAGCGACGACAACGCGAGUGCCUCCUGCUCAUGGAGUUUGUUCGAGGUUUGAAGUAGGAAACAUGGAUUCAUGCUUGGCGUUGGUUUAUGAAAAUGACUCACAAGUCUGAUCCAUGGAAAAAAAAUAUUACGAAGAAAAAAUUUCACACAUGCAAAAAAGGGAAUUUAAGUAUAAUGCAUUAUUCAAAUAAAAGAAAUAGCAUGCAAAGCUCUUCUUUAAAUAAUAUUACCUCCAUCCAAAAAUAUAAUUCAAGAAUAUCGGUGAUACUUAUCUACUACUACGCAUUGUGCAAUGAUAGCAAGUGAGCUUGUAGAGAGAUGUAGUAGAUGUGUUUCCUGUCAUAGAUGUAGACAUAAACACAUAUAGGUGGGUGCCCGUGCGUUGCAACGGAAACAUUUAAUAUCAUGAUAACUUAUGAACAAAUGUGUGUUAUACUGUUAUGUGAAAAUGUUUCGUAAUUAAUUUGUGAUCCUAGCCAUACAUAAAUUUUGUUAUUUCAAUCUAACUAUUUCAUCACUACAUUGCAACCAACAGUACCGUGCAGACUUCUAUACAUGAUAGCUGAAUGCCCGUGCGUUGCAACGGGAAUAUAUAAUACAAGUAUACUACGAUAACUUAUAUACAAAAUAUGUGUUAUACCGUUAUGAGAAAAUGUUUCAUAAUCAAUUUGUGAUUCUGGCCAUACAUAAAUUUUGUUAUUUAUAAUCUAUCUGUUUCACCACUACAUUGCAACCAUCAGUAUCAUGCAGACUUUGAUAUAUAUCACGAUUUGUAUGGUCUCAUUAUUGGAGAGCACGUUUCACACAUACCGGAAGAAAUUCUCUCGUACAUAGUUAGUCAUCGGACACGUACCACCAUACGCUUUUGCUUAAACAAAAAGGUAAGUGUGUGUUUGCAAGACUAAUGGUCAAACAUCGUAUAACCAUAAAGUUAGAAUACUAUAUUAAUAUAUUAAAUAAAUUAAUCCAAUAGACAUAGAUUAACCCAAUUAACAUAGGAUAAAUAAAUAUGUAAUUAUAAAAGUAUGAAACAUGGUAUAAUCAAUGUUGUUACUGCGUAGUAAAUAUUCAUACGAGACUAACACAACUAGAACGAUUCAAUUUGGAAUUAAAAUGGGGAACUUACGAAUUUCCAAAGUUUCUAUGUAUUUGAUAUAGGAUUAAUUAGGAAAUCAAUUUUAUUGUUGUUUUCAUGACAAAACAGAGGUAUUAUGUGAUAAAAUAAUAUUAUAGAAUUAUAGAAAUUGGAAUGAACUCAUUUGGAUUUAAUAUGAAAUUUCCAUGAAUUAAAUGGGUUUCUGCAAUUAUUUUUAAACUAAAAAUCAAUUUCUAAACUUCUUUUCCCUAUUUUCUUUAUUUCCUGGACUGCGUCCCAAAUUCCAGAAAGAUCAGGGGCCAAGCUAUAAAUGUUUUUCUAGACUCAGUGAGCAUACAGAGUGGACGGUGGGUUAAACACAAAAGACGUCUUAGUUGAAGUUGUACACAAUUCAACAUGAGUCAUGUUGGCUAGAGGGUGGAAGGCUAGGCAUUUUGCUCAAUAGAUCCAAGGUUCAAUCCCUGGGCAGCCAUGGUUUGAUUUUUUUUCUACGCGCGGAACGGGGGAGGGCAGAACGGCAGACUACUCUUACCUUCUUAAUAAGUAGUAUAGAUUAGGCUAUCCUUAUUUGAUUCCAUUUGACUAUCUUUGAGAGCAUUCCCAUGAGCUAGACAAACUUAUCUAGUGCAUGUUCAACUAGUCUAAGUCAUAGUUCUUCAACCUUUUCAAAUCUCCAACUUAGAAUCAUGUUUUGGCCCAAACUUGGCUCCAAAUGCACUUUUUCUAAAAUCUGAACUUCUUGUCCUUCCAAGGUGCUGAAAUCCGUUUCUAAGGGCAUUUAGAAGUUAUCCAAACUUAUUAACUAAUCAAAGUUCACCUUAUCCAAAAUAUGCCCUUCCAAGUCUUGAGUUGAGCUAUUUGUUGCACUGAAUACAUGAAUUUGAUUCUUACGAAUCUGCAACCAUAUUCUUAGCAAACUAGUUAGAUCACAAUGUUGUGUUCGUCAUCAAACACUAAAAAUAUGCCCGGGGUCCGUGCAUACUACAUCGGAAACAAAAGAAAUUGACACCAAGACCUCCAACGAUGAGGGUAGUGGUCAGUAGUGAAGAUUCAAAUGAUAUGUUUAUGGUAAUUUGUGAUGAGUACUUUUAUUGAACUUUACGUAUGUUACUCACAUUGUCAGCCACAUCUUAGACAAAAUCAUACAUCACGAUGAAAUAAUGCUUGCCAACAACAUUGUGCUCGACUAGUGAUGAUGAGACUCAUCCUCCAUGGUUCACAUUCACAGUUUAUGACGAUGUUCCUCUAGACUUACCACUCACAUCUCCUUUGCCAUGAAACUUUCAAACCAUGUAUCCAUGGACAAAACCCCACUAGAUCAAAUGAGAUUGCACAUCACUGCCUUCUAGCAUCCAAACACGCUUGUUCCUAUAGUGAGAACACGAACAUAUGAUUCCCUGAUAAUUCACAUCUAGAGCAUGCUUUUGAGCAGUGUAAAAAACUUUUUAUCGCUUGUUAUGUAAAGGGUUGUGAUAAUCUUGAUAUGUGGUACAUCCAUUCUAAUAUGUCCAUGUCAAUUAGCCUUGUAUGUAGCAAAAUAUAUCAAUAUGACAUAACAAAAUGAGAGGUGCAUCACUUGAAUGCAUAACUUGUUACAAAUAAUAUAAAUAUAGACAAUAUAUAAUUAACAUAAACAAAAAACACCACUAGAUAGCAGUAUGUAGAGCUUUACUAUGUCAUACAUAAACAUAAGUAUAGUAGUAUUACAAAAAAACCAUUCAAAUGAAGAACAAGAUAAGUUUUCUCUCUCUUCUACCAUAGAACUAGUUCCACAUUACCGAAAACUUGAAAAAAGAAAGCAAAAUAAGGAUGUGAGAGCGCAUAACAACCUCCUAUGAUGUCCUCCUUCAAGGAAUCCAAGAGAGACAUUCCACCCCUAAAACAUGGUGAUUUUUGGAGUUAGCUUCAACCUCGUCAAACUGAAUAGGAAAGCUCAUGGAACAAUAAGAUAGGGUGGGUGAGGGGUCUGAUUUUAUAACCAUAUAUUAGAGUCGGGCAUCCUAAGGCUGACCACCUAUGUUAAUGAAGCCAAUAAGGGAGGCGAUCUUUGUAGUAGCACCAUCUCUGUUAAUAGUUAUUAACAAAGACAAUCAACGUACAUCGCUAUCUUGAUUAACUAAAUGAUGGAGGCGAUAGUCGUAAGGCGUCCAACUCUAUUAAUGUACUAUUAAAGGAGGCGAUUGUCUUAUGUUGAUCGCCUCUGUUAACCUUUAAUCGAUGUGACCACUUAGCUAUGAGGUCUAUCAAUGAUUAAAUGGGGGGUCAAAUAAUAAAACAAAUUUAUAGCAUUAAAUCCACUAUUUGUUAAAAAGAUCAAAGAAUAAAAGGUAUUCAACGAAUGACAAAAAAGAUUUGAAUAUAAUGAAAUAAAUAUUAAAGUGCAAGGCAUAUUGGUAGAUCCUGUCGUGAAGCCCAAAAAGUUAAUACAAUUAUGAACAAUAAUUUUCUAAUGAGGUACUGAAGGCCGUUAGGGUUACACAACACCGAUAAUAUAGGCUAGUUUUACCUCUCACAAGACACUUAUCUUAAUCAUAGAUGAUGCAACGCUAGUUCGACCGAUCAACCAUCUGAUAGAUCUAAAAUGACAUUUGAUCAUGAACGAUAUCUUUUAAAGUAGUAACUCAAAAUUAUGGUCAACUUCAGCAAUGCUUUCUACUUUCUAACCGGUCGGUUAGUUCCUAAUGGCCAUCCAAAAUAGUGCGUGCCUAUGUAGUCGAAGCGAAGGUAGUGCAACUGCAAAUAGGUAUGAAGCGAAAGUGAAUGUGAACGCGUAUACAUUGAAGGAUGUGCAGACUAACAUGCUAAAAAAUGUAAAAAUAUGAGUUUUUUCUCUUUCGUUCAUAAAUCCUAUCCCCAAAACACACGUGUCAAGCAUGAUGGACACUAGUGUUUGUCUUGACUUAACAAAUGAGACAUAAGGCCAUUUUUAAUAUAUUAUAGCUAAUAGUUAGUUACUAAAAUUAGUUAAAGACAUCCAAACAAUCUACCUAAUAAUUCUGCUAAUAACUACUUUUAGUAAAUUAUCUAAUAGUUACAAGUUAGCUAAUUUCACUAACAACUUUUUAGCCAAUUAACUAUUAGCUCUAGUAUAUUUAAACACACUCUAAAAAUAAAAAGCAACUAGAAGGGUAUAAAUGAAUCAAGGGCUAGACAUUGAAUCUCUACUACACCAUAUGACUCUACCGAGGGCGUCCACCCGGCGUCACCAUGCCCCCGCCAUAGUGCCCGCAAGGUCACCGGCCACAGCCUCGUCACCUUCCUCCCCGCCCCUCGCGCGACCCCUCGUCGCGCUCCCAUCCGCUGCGCCCCUCCCUGGCUCCCUGCACCGUAAAUUCCUCACCUCAGAACCCACGCUCGAGCUCCACCAACCACCCCCCCACGGACAGAUCCUCGCCCUUGCCCCUCCCCCCGUGACGGUCGCGUCCGUGUCCGCUGUCACGCCCCAGCCCCCAAACCCGUGCAUAGGGAUGAAAACAGUUUCGGAAUUUUCGGUAUUCCGGAAACCGAUUUCGAAAUUUUUCGAUCGGAUUCAUCGGUAACGGUAUUUUUCGAAAACAGAAUCGGUUUUCGAAAUUUUCUAUCGGAAUCGGCGUGGUGUUUUACCGACCGUUUCCUUCGGUUACCGUUUUUUGUCGGAAAUUACCGGAUUUGUGUCUUGUAAUUUUUUGGAAUUGUGUCUCGAAAUUUUUCAGAAUUUUCCAGCAUGUGAUUUUUCGCAUCGCCUCUAUGUCUCUAGAUAACAGUGGCGGAGGAGCCAUUAUGGCUUAGUGUGGCAUCAGCGAUACCUUAUUGUUAAAAACUCUUUUAUCUUCCACUAUAAUCACAAAAUAAGACACGGGUGGUGGAUGUGUAUCCUCAAUUCUACCAACAGGUUCGAUUCCUGAUUCUUGCAUAUUUUAUUUUUUCAGCCAUACCAUAUUUUUUCUUUGCCCUCUGCUACUGCUAGAUAAGGAUUACUUAUUUUUGUAUUUUUUGUAUGCCUUAAGAUUUUUUGGGAUAGAUGGCGUUGGAAGGCAGUUGAGAUUAACGAUUUGGUCUUUUCCACACACUAGGUUUUAGGGUUUUCCUGUGAGGUUGUGAAAAACUCUUUAUGUGGGGAAAAAUAUUUCAUAAGUAAGCAUGCCAUGUCAGCUAGAUCGAGUGGAUAUUGUGAAUUGUGAACUUUGAGUCUGUGAACUUGUGAUCUUUUUGAACUUGUUAUACUGUGAGCUUGUUAUAUUAUGAACUUGUGAUCUUUGUAAACUUUUUAUAUUAUAAAUUUGUGAUCCUUGUGAACUUGCUAUAUCAUGAAUUGUGAACUUGUGGUCUUUGUGAUCUUUUAUCAACUUUGUUGUAUUAUGAAGUUUGAUAUGUUUACCGAUCGUAUUUUAGAUUUCGACCGUUACCGGUGUAUUUUCCGCACCAAACGUUCGUUUCCGAUGUUUCCGAAAUACCGAUAUUGUUUCUGUUUCUGGAGUUACCGUUUUCGAUUUUGUUUCCGAUAAAAAAAUGAAAAUAAUAAUGGUUUUAGUGUUUACCGACCGUUUCUGACCGUUUUCAUCCCUACUCGUGCACCAUCGACUGCUCCCCACCUAUCCCACCGUCUCGCCCAUCCCCUCCCCCACCGCAGAGACACCGUGAUGCGGGAUAGCCGCGUCGUCCCCUCAAACCCUUCAGAGAGUCUACGUCCCCACAUUUGCGGGCAGGCGGAGAUCUGGAUCUGCUCUCCUCUGCUUCGUCGCUCGGCGGUCUCGUCGCGACGGAAGAACAAGCAGCUUGUCGUCGAGUGAGGCCACGUGUCUCGUCCCUACAUCGGCGUCGCGGCUCCACUGAGCGUGCGCGUCAGCGUCACCGGCGAGAGGCGAGGGCAGGCGGUGGUGGCGAUGGCGUCCGCCGACGCGCGCUUGGCGGGGAUCGCCUCCUUCAUCUGCGUCAUCCCUGACUUUCCCAAGCUAGGUGGGUUCACCCUUGUCUUUCGUACGAGCGUAUCUCACCUUACUCCUCUCUGUAUCAACAACCCAUCUGAUGUACAACUCACGUGGUUGGAUGACGGGUUGCUGAAUGAGUGGACACGAGCUUCGUUUUCGGGAUUUCGUUUUUUGCGUUAACUACGCUGCAUAAACUCACGUCACUGCUUAUAUAUUUUUUACUGAAAAAAUAUCGGAGUGUUUGUUUGACGAAAAGAUGGUUCAGCAGUCAAACUUAGUUACUAUUGGAGUAGUGGUUAGACCAUGGAGGUAUAAAAAACUUUUACUCACGUGAGAGGUGUACUAGACCACAAAUAUAAAAUAUGUUCUUCAAACAAUAUUAAAAUUAGGACUGUUUCAAUCCUACUACUGAAAUAUCGAUUUCAGUUUACAGUAAAAGCUGGCUAGCAGAUAGAUCCAUUGUCUUCAAGUCUAUUGCUUUGCUAUGCAAGAAUUCAAACAAUGUAAACUGCAAGUAUGCACUACGCAGUACACACGAUAACUCAUAUAAAACUUUUGCACUAACUGCUUGCUAACAUAGGACUGUGAUUAGCUGAUGGAAGUACAAAACUAUAUAUAAUAUAUAAUUAACUAAUCUGUUGCCAUUGUUGAUAGUUAUGACUGGUCAUUCUGAAGGUAGGAAUCAAGAAUUGUUAUACUAUAUGACAGUGUAGAAACAACCAUGCCAUUUGUUUUGUAUGAUCUGCUCUCAAAAGCACAUCAACCAAAUUUUUAUGAUCCUGAAAUCACUGAUUAAAACGCUAUAAGAGAUGCUUGAUGCUUUCAUCUUUAGCAUGAGGAUAUCUAAUUAGUAACACAUAAUUUUGUCCAAACUGAGUAGCUGAUAACAUGGUAUCCGGUGUUUAUUGUUAAAUUCUAAUGCUUCAAAAUUAUACUUUGUCAUCACCAGUUUUUCAUCUCCUUCAUUCCUAUUGUUUGAGUGCUAUAACUCAGUUGUUACCUAUAAGUUUUUCAAUGAUUUUUUUCUCAUUCUCCACCUAUGUUCAAUUAAUAUUCUUAUCUACUAUUGGUGGGAUAUAUGGUUGUCUCAAUGAAUAUUCCUAUCUACUAUUUGUGUGAUAUUCACAUAGUUUGUUCUGCUGCAUUGUCAUCAGUUAGUCUUGCUAUAUGCUUUAUAUGAGAAAAAGUGAGAAAUUGCACCUUUUUAUCAGCCAUAAGUUGUUGGUUUGGAUAAUAAAACUGGUUUUUCCUGAACCUUGGUGCAGUAAGUAUCAUCAUUCACAUACUGUGACUAAUAAUUUUGUACUCCCUCUUUUUUAUUUUUACAAUGCUUGUUCCUCUUCACUAAAAUGGCGAGAUUCUGUACAGUUUAAGUUGCUCAUAUUGUCUAUCCAUGUUCUUUUGAUGUGCAAUACAGGGAAUGAGAAUCUCUUGCCCUUGAGAGCCUUUUGACUUCAGAAUAUUUGCAAUGCCACGAUUAUGAGCCUGGGAAGCCUAACUGACCAAAGGCUAACUGAUUCAUUGUUUUCACCAUGAUUCAGACAUAACACCUAUCACCAUCAUCACUACACCUUCCUUCUUCCAUUUACUAUAGUCAUUUCAAAAAAUGUUUUUGUACCAUUAUGUGGAUCAAAGAUAUCGAAAAAGGAGCGAUGAUCGUUUCUUAUGUACCUGUGGUUGCAGAAGGAUGCAACCAAAUGCGAGAUCUACGUGGCCUUCAACACCAAUCACCUAUUGAUGGUCAUCGGGCUUCCAGAGUGCUCUGGGUUCCGAUAGGAUCUCUAAAGUUUACACCUUUACAUACCCUGGAAUCUCUAACCAUUGUUGCAUUCCACUUUGGUGAGUACUAUGAAUGAGAUAUGAACAUUAUAAAACUGUUACUUUGAUCCCUUUGUGGUGGACUAGAUGCAACAAGCAAUUCAUUUAAUUUCUCAACUGUCACAACCAAAAACAGAGAUGACAUAAGGUAAUAAGUAAAUGAAAUGACCUAUGAUGACAUGAUGAGGGUGGAUAGUAUAUAAAAACAAUUGACAAAACUUAUAAUUGUAACUAAGAUCCAUAUAUUUAAAUAUAUGAAUUCAAGAGAAUUGGGGACAUCCAUGGUGAAUAUGUGCGCUGACAUGCAGUCUUGGUCAAAAUUGCACCCAUCACCAAAUGGAUGAAUCUUUUUGGAUUGAAAGAAUUGUAGCAUUCCCUAGCCCUUUCUUAUUGCUUUCAUGGUCAUCACUCACUAAAUCGACACAGUGAGCUGGCUUUUUUCUUGAGAACUAGACUCAAUUUUAAUAGUACUAGAAAAGAAAGCGCCCUAUCGGGCGCUGGAUAGUUUAAACCAUAUGUUAUAGCGCAUAAGAGUCUAUGGUCUUAAGACAAACAUUUUGAUGUAGACACAAAAUUAGAAGGUCCAGAAGUACCUUAAGAUUAGUAUUGACAACAAUCAAAUGUUUGGCAAUAGUCUAUGGCUUGAACUAAGGAUUGUUACAAAUGAUCACAUAGAUUCAUGCUCACUUAAAAGAUGAUAAUGAGCUUGCUUCAAAAUAAACACCUACAAUCUCAAUUGUCGGCCUUUCACACAUUCUGCCGCUUCUAGGUCUGAUAGGCAUAUAUCGAUCUAUAGGCAUGCAUGCUGCAACAGCAAUAAUCAACAAGCUACAUGCCACCACCCAAACCUAAUUGCCACUGCUGAUGCCUGGAAAGUUUUCAGAAGCUUGUUUGUCUGUUUCUCCAAUUUGGAAUCACAACUCUUCUAACGCACAUGGAAUCGUCGCCUUCCGCACACUCUUCUGGCGCACGCCACUGACGAUCACUGUGGCAUGCUGCUCUCUUUGACGAGUUGAAAAAAUAGGCUCCAACUCAACAUUCGUUUUGCGUUCCCUACCUACAGGGCAUGGAGUUUAGACAACAACAUUUUCAAACUUUCAAUUUCCGACGAAGUAGAAAGAAUGAGAAAAAAGAAUAAUUGUCUAAUUGUUUAGAUAACAUUUUCAAACCAUGAUUCAUCAGCUCGAAGUUUUAGACUUCCAGUGCGGUAAAGAAUGCAGAUUGGUUCAUAGAAUCUGAUUGAAGCCUGAUGCCCCUAUAACUUGGUUUUCAAAAGAAAAAAAUGUACCCUAAAAGCUACGAUAGUCUUUGUUUUUAAACAGAUGUGAUUAGAAGAAAAGUGCCUCUAUACUGCAUCUAAAAGAAAAGGGCAAAAAGAGAUUCAGUUCCCGCAUCAGUAAAUUUAGUACUGGAAAAAUAAUAUAGCGUACUCUGUCAGUUGGUGUCUGCUUGGGAAGAUGGUCUCUUGAUCUCUUGGAGCCCUUAGAUCUACAUGAAACACUGACAUGUUCUCUAUGCUAUUUGUUUGAGAAAAUUGAUGAACUUAUAUCACAAUUUUAUUAGAGUAAUUUAACUGGACAGCUGAAAAAUUUAGGAAUUUUUGUGCAGAAUCAUGCAUCAGGAAAAUGGGAAAUUUAUGAAGUAAUUAUAUCCAAGCUAACUAACAAAAAAUAGAAAGUACCCAAUGUUCCAUCGCUGGCACACUUUACAUAGAAACUCAUACUGAAUCUAAUCUAUGAUGGAGCAGCUCAACAAUGGUUUCAGAUCAUCACAUAUACCUCUUCACCUACAAAACUGAUAGAAUAGAAUCAAGGAAGCAUCAGUAACAAAAUACAAGAACCUCAGGGCUCAAAAUUUGAUUAUUUCAUAUGCAGAGAAUGGAAACAAAUUAAAAAAACUCAUUGUUUUUCGAUACUAGAUAUGAAUGAGGUACAGGAACUGGCCAUGAACAAUGAGAGCCAAACACACAAUUCUAACUAAGCGAUGAGAGUGCCAGAAGGCAUUGAAGCCAGUCAGUUUGUCAAAUGUUUUUGGAAGCUUCACCAGGCUACGACAUAACCUCUGUGUUGCUAAAGUGAAAGCAUUAACCAUACAGAUAACCAUAAUUACACCAGUGAUGCCUUCCACUCCUUUGUCCAAUGUAAUUAUGUUGGCUUUGUUUCACUAAAGUACUGGCCCAAAAAAGCAUACUUCUCAUUUGAUGAAUUUAUAACCAGUGGAAAAUCACACAAAAGGUGGUUCGCUACAUGGAGGAUUAUACCACCACUCAUUGUCUGGAACGAAAAAAAAACAGGACACAAAAUUUGUCUCACCCUUCCAUUUUCUUUCACCAUAAAGAUUUUCUACACGCUCAUCUAUUUCACGUGUUAAUGCCAAACGUUGUGUUUGAUCUUCACCAACAGGUACCAGGUCGGACUGUGAUCAUUCAAGCUAGCUAAAUAAGCUGUUAAUAAUUCGUGUGGUAUAAAAGCAUGUCAGAAGCCAUUAAAACAAGAUAAGUCAAAAAUGCAACCCAACAUUUUCAUCACCCCGAUAUUUUUUAAAAGCAUCAGUAGUACUGUUAUAAUCAAAUUCAACAAUCUGAAAUAUUUAACACCAUAAUUCAAGGCAUCGAAGGAUUUUGCAAGAUGGAAUUUGACUCCACCUUAUACAUAUGAAAUUAAUGCUUCAGAGUAGGGAAGAACUGACAUCUUUAAAGUUCAAAGCAGCAUGAAGCUGUAUAAAGUGACGAGGCAUCACAGUUGUGAUCUGAUGAUAAAAUUAGAAUUAGGCAAUUAGUGCAUAUGUGUGGACCUCAUGUAGUGUAAACUGAGCACGCAGUAGAUCAAACAGAGACCCGCAAUGGACCAUUAGACCAAAAGUAUUAAAAUACAAGGAAGAUAUUGCAAGAUAAUUUAUCUGCACCUUUGAUUCAAUAAUCCACUAAAUGUGAAAGCCAAACUGUAGCACGUAUUGUUGUAUCACGAGUGACUAUGUCGUGGCCCAUAAGCACAUGGAAUUGCUAGUCAGAAAUCAGAAUCACCCACCGUGGAUUCUUGUCUUCCCCAAGGCCACGCCGAGAAGGACUAUCGUGAACCUCUGGGCCCCCGGACCUCCCCAAGCCACCGCACUGGCACGCCGCUAUGUCGACGUCCACUCGCACGGGCAGACGAGAGACUGCGAGGGCUCGAACGACGAUUUGAGUGGCGGCGUGGAUGUAAGGGCGCCCGCUCCUCAGAGAGAGAGAAGUCAGAUUCCACGGCGCGAUGCUGGACUAUGGCAACCUGAUCCGGUACCAGCUGCCUGUGUUGAGUAGCUGCCUCCGCAGCACACCGUUGUGUGCGGCGAGGUCGAAUGCGGCGAUGGUCCUCUCAAUCGUGGGUGCGACAGCGGAGACGGCGGAGUAGCCGCCUAGGAUUUGGGGUGGGAGGGGCCGACCGCUUGGCUCGCAUGGAGGCGGGUACUGGAAAGACGACACAAAAACAGGCAACCAGCUAUCGUGCCCACGGACACAGGAAUUCGGAACCGGCGUCGUGGACACACGUCAAGAGAAAUGGUCCUGAAAGUACACGUGAGGCCGUGAAGCCCGUAGAGGGCGUGAAAUCCCUUCAGGUUUUAAUAGAAAAGAUGUGGUUUUGGCUGACCAACAAGUAAAUCUGGUACACCAGCAACAAUCUGCAGAUUUAAAGCUUGAUUUGGUUUCUUUUGAAGGUCCUGUAGUUUUGGCUGACCAAACAAUCUGCAGAUUUGAAGUUUGAUUUGGUUGCUUUUGAAGGCCCUAUAUGUCUUGCACUUUGAUGGGACAUGUUGCUUGGAAACACAAGGAUAUAACAUUAUGAGAGAUCGAAGUUUAGAUCUUAGUUGAAUUGUUCAUUACCAAGUUGAGAUUGUGAAAGGGAAAUGUGCCCUUGGGCCAUUUCUAAGUAUUUUGGUGAUUGAGUGUCAACACAAGUGCUUAAAUGUAAAUCUAUGCCCGUGGAUGGACAAGUUGCAAAUCACAAGUAAAGGUAUGUUUCUAAGCCUUAGUACAUUGGUUUUGUGUACUAAUAUACUUGUCUAAGUGUUAGAAACAGAGAGAAGAAGAAAGAAGAAGGGUUGGCUGUGUACAGCCAAAAGGCUGCUUCGGUCUGGGGCACCGGACUGUCCGGUGGUGCACCGGAUAGUGUCCGGUGCGCCAGGCUGCCUCGGGCGAAGACGCCACUCUCGGGAAUUUGCCGACGGCGUACGGCUAAAAUUCACCGGACUGUCCGGUGUGCACCGGACUGUCCGGUGAGCCAACGGUCGGCUGGGCCAACGGUCGGUCGCGCGAUCUGCGCGAGACACGUGGCCGAGCCAACGGUCGGAAGGGGGCACCGGACUGUCCGGUGUGCACCGGACAUGUCUGGUGCGCCAACGGCUCCCAGAUCUUUAACGGUCAGCAACGGUCGGCUGCGCUGUUUAUGGAAAUAAAUCGGGCACCGGACAGUGUCCGGUGUGCACCGGACUGUCCGGUGCGCCCGACGACAGAAGGCAAGGAUGGCCUUCCAGAUUUGUUCUCAACGGCUCCUAGCUGCCUUGGGGCUAUAAAAGGGACCCCUAGGCGCAUGGAGGAGUAUACCAAGCAUUCCUACAACAUUCUUAAGCACCAAGACAUCGAUCUCGCGCAUUCGUUUCGUUGUGAUAGCAUAUAGAGCUCUUGUGGAGUUGUGAACUCUUUGAGUUGUGUUGCGAGCUCUUGUUGCUACUUGUGUGCGUGUUGUUCUGAUCUUUUGAAGUCUUGUGUGCGUUGCUCAUUCCCCCUUUGCUCUGUGUUUCUUUGUGAAAUUCAAUUGUAAGGGCGAGAGACUCCAAGUUGUGGAGAUUCCUCGCAAACGGGAAAAGAUCAAAGAAAAGAAGAACACCGUGGUAUUCAAGUUGAUCAUUGGAUCACUUGAGAGGAGUUGAGUGCAACUCUCGUCCGUUGGAACGCCACAACGUGGAGUAGGCAAGUUUUGUACUUGGCCGAACCACGGGAUAACCACCGUGUCAUCUCUGUGAUUGGUUUCUUGUGGUUAUUGUGUUUUGACUCCUCUCUAGCCACUUGGCCAUAAUUGUGCUAACACUUAACAAGUUUUUGUGGCUAUAAGUCUAAGUUUUACAGGAUCACCUAUUCACCCCCCCCCCCUCUAGGUGCUCUCAAUUGGUAUCGGAGCCGUUCUCUUCAAGAAAGGGACUAAUCGCCCGAAGAGAUGGAUCCUAAGGGAAAGGGGAUGGUGGUCGACAACAACGAGAAGGAGUCUAUCUUCAACGAGCUGAAGAAUGACAAGUCUACCGACUUGGGGUCAAGCCACAAGCGCAAAGAUGGGAAGAAGAAGAAGACAAGGCGCAUCAAGGAGAUCGUCUACUACGACAGCGACGAAUCCUCUUCUUCCCAAAAGGACGACGACCACAACGACUACGAGAAAAGGAAACCGGUUAAUUCGAACUUUUCUUUUGACUACUCUCGUAUUCCGCAAAGUUCAAAUUCACAUUUGCUCCCCAUUCCACUUGGCAAGCCCCCUCACUUUGAUGGAGAGGACUACGGAUUUUGGAGCCACAAAAUGCGUACUCACUUGUUCUCUCUCCAUCCUAGCAUAUGGGAGAUUGUAGAGAGUGGAAUGCAAUUUGAUAGCUCGGAUAGCCCUAUGUUUAUCAAUGAACAGAUUCAUAAAAAUGCACAAGCUACUACUGUGUUGCUAGCCUCUUUGUGCAGGGACGAGUACAAUAAAGUGAGCGGCUUGGACAAUGCCAAGCAGAUAUGGGACACCCUAAAGAUUUCUCACGAAGGGAACGACAUCACCAUGCUCACUAAAAUGGAGUUGGUGGAGGGCGAGCUUGGAAGGUUUGCGAUGAUAAGGGGCGAGGAGCCAACUCAAACAUACAACCGGCUCAAGACCCUUAUCAACAAAAUAAGGAGCUAUGGAAGCACGAGAUGGACGGACCAUGACGUCGUCCGACUAUUACUAAGGUCCUUUACCAUUCUUGAUCCUCAUUUGGUGAAUAAUAUUCGUGAGAAUCCCAGGUACACCAAAAUGUCGCCCGAAGAAGUCCUAGGAAAAUUUGUCAGCGGGCGAAUGAUGAUCAAGGAAGCAAGGUACGUGGACGACGCCUUGAAUGGACCGAUCAACGAGUCGCAACCUUUUGCUCUCAAAGCAACAAGAAGCAAGGAGGCGCUACCUAGCAAGGUGGCACAAAUUGAGGCGGCCGGACUUAAUGAUGAAGAGAUGGCUCUCAUCAUUAAACGCUUCAAGACAGUACUAAAGGGUCACAAGGGGCAGCCAAGCAAGACCAAGACAAAGGGGAAGCGCUCAUGCUUCAAGUGCGGUAAGAUUGGUCAUUUUAUCGCUAACUGCCCCGAUAAUGAUAGUGACCAGGAACAGGGAAAUAAGAGGGAAAAGAAGAAGAAUUACAAGAAGGCAAAGGGCGAGGCGCAUCUAGGCAAGGAGUGGGACUCGGACUGCUCCUCUUCCGACUCCGACAAUGAAGGACUCGCCGCCACCGCCUUCAACAAAUCAACCCUCUUCCCAAACGAGCGUCACACAUGCCUUAUGGCAAGGGAGAAGAAGGUAUGUACUCGGAACUCUACCUAUGCUUCUUCAAGUGAGGACGAAUCUAGUGAUGAGGAUGAAAUAGAUUACUCGUGUUUGUUUAAGGGCCUAGAUAGAACCAAAGUAGACAAAAUUAAUGAAUUGAUUGAUGCCCUGAAUGAGAAGAACAUACUUUUAGAAAAGCAAGAGGAUUUGUUGUAUGAAGAACAUGAUAAAUUUGUAGAAGCUCAAAGAUCUCAUGCUCUAGAAGUUAAAAGAAAUGAAAUGCUUUCUUGUGAAUUAUCUUCUUGCCAUGAUACAAUUUCUAAAUUAAGGAGCAUUAAUGAUGAUUUGAAUGCUAAACUAGAAGUAGCUAAUAAAUCUAAGUCUUGUGUAGAACAUGUUGAGAUUUGCACUAGGUGUAAAGAUUUCGAUGUUGAUGCUUGUAGUAAUCAUUUAGUUUCAAUUUCCAAAUUAACUGAGGAUUUGGCUAGUCUUAAUGCCCAACUUAAGACUAGCAAGAAUGAAUUUGAGAAACUAAAAUUUGCUAGGGAUGCCUACACGGUUGGUAGACACCCCUCAAUUAAGGAUGGGCUUGGCUUCAAGAGGGAAGCCAAGAACUUAACAAGCCAUAAGGCUCCCAUUCCCACUAAGGAGAAAGGGAAGGCCCCUAUGGCUACUAGUGCUAAAAGGAACCAUGCCUUUUUAUAUCAUGAUAGAAGACAAACUAGAUAUGCGUAUAGGAGUUAUAAUGCAUAUGAUGAUUUUAACUCUCAUGCCAUGUUUGCUUCUAGUUCUUCCUAUAUGCAUGGUAGAAAUAUGUCUAGGAAAAAUGCUAUGCCUAGAAAGAAUGUUAUUUAUGCUCCUAGGAAAGUAGUGAAUGAACCUUCUACAAUUUAUUGUGCUUUAAAUGCUUCCUUUGCAAUUUGUAGAAAGGAUAGAAAGGUAAUUGCUAGGAAGUUAGGGGCAAAAUGCAAGGGUGAUAAAACUUGCAUUUGGGUCCCUAAGGAAAUUGUGACUAACCUUAUAGGACCCAACAAGAGUUGGGUACCUAAGUCCCAAGCCUAAAUUUGCCUUGCAGGUUUAUGCAUCCGGGGGUUCAAGCUGGAUUAUCGACAGCGGAUGCACAAACCAUAUGACGGGGGAGAAGAAAAUGUUCACCUCCUACGUCAAGAAUAAGGAUUCCCAAGAUUCAAUUAUAUUCGGUGAUGGGAAUCAAGGCAAGGUAAAAGGGUUAGGCAAAAUUGCAAUUUCUAAUGAGCACUCUAUCUCUAAUGUGUUUUUAGUAGAGUCUCUUGGUUAUAAUUUGCUAUCUGUUAGUCAAUUAUGCAACAUGGGGUAUAACUGUCUAUUUACAAAUGUAGGUGUGUCUGUCUUUAGAAGUAGUGAUGGUUCACUAGCUUUUAAGGGUGUAUUAGACGGCAAACUUUAUUUAGUUGAUUUUGCAAAAGAAGAAGCCGGUCUAGAUGCAUGCUUAAUAGCUAAGACUAGCAUGGGCUGGCUGUGGCAUCGCCGCUUAGCACAUGUGGGGAUGAAGAACCUUCACAAGCUUCUAAAGGGAGAACAUGUGAUAGGUUUGACUAACGUGCAAUUCGAAAAAGAUAGACCUUGUGCAGCUUGUCAAGCAGGUAAACAAGUAGGAGGAGCACAUCACAGCAAGAAUGUGAUGACCACUUCAAGACCCCUGGAGCUGCUGCAUAUGGACCUCUUCGGACCCGUCGCCUAUCUGAGCAUAGGAGGAAGUAAGUAUGGUCUAGUUAUUGUUGAUGACUUUUCCCGCUUCACUUGGGUGUUCUUUUUGCAGGAUAAGUCUGAAACCCAAGGGACCCUCAAGCGCUUUCUCAGGAGAGCUCAAAAUGAGUUUGAGCUCAAGGUGAAGAAGAUAAGGAGCGACAACGGGUCCGAGUUCAAAAACCUUCAAGUGGAGGAAUUCCUUGAGGAGGAAGGGAUCAAGCACGAGUUCUCCGCUCCCUACACACCACAGCAAAAUGGUGUGGUAGAGAGGAAGAACAGGACGCUCAUCGAUAUGGCGAGGACGAUGCUAGGAGAGUUCAAGACCCCCGAGUGCUUUUGGACGGAAGCCGUGAACACGGCUUGCCAUGCCGUCAACAGGGUCUACCUUCACCGCCUCCUCAAGAAGACUUCGUAUGAGCUGCUAACCGGUAACAAACCCAAUGUAUCUUACUUUCGUGUAUUUGGGAGCAAGUGCUACAUUCUAGUGAAGAAAGGUAGAAAUUCUAAGUUUGCUCCCAAAGCAGUAGAAGGGUUUUUAUUAGGUUAUGACUCAAAUACAAAGGCGUAUAGAGUCUUCAACAAAUCAUCGGGUUUGGUUGAAGUCUCUAGCGACGUUGUAUUUGAUGAGACUAAUGGCUCUCCAAGAGAGCAAGUUGUUGAUCUUGAUGAUGUAGAUGAAGAAGAUGUUCCAACGGCCGCUAUGCGCACCAUGGCGAUUGGUGAUGUGCGACCACAGGAACACUUGGAGCAAGAUCAACCUUCUUCCUCAACAACGGUGCAUCCCCCAACUCAAGACGAUGAACAGGUUCAUCAACAGGAGGCGUGUGAUCAAGGGGGAGCACAAGAUGAUCAUGUGAUGGAGGAAGAAGCGCAACCGGCACCUCCAACCCAAGUUCGAGCGAUGAUUCAAAGGGAUCAUCCCGUCGACCAAAUUCUGGGUGACAUUAACAAGGGAGUAACUACUCGGUCUCGAUUAGUUAAUUUUUGUGAGCAUUACUCCUUUGUCUCUUCUAUUGAGCCUUUCAGGGUAGAGGAGGCCUUGCUAGAUCCGGACUGGGUGUUGGCCAUGCAAGAGGAGCUCAAUAACUUCAAGAGGAAUGAAGUUUGGACACUGGUGCCUCGUCCGAAGCAAAAUGUUGUGGGAACCAAGUGGGUGUUCCGCAACAAACAAGACGAGCACGGGGUGGUGACGAGAAACAAGGCUCGACUUGUGGCAAAAGGUUAUGCCCAGGUCGCAGGUUUGGAUUUAGAGGAGACUUUUGCUCCUGUGGCUAGGCUAGAAUCAAUUCGUAUCCUGCUAGCAUAUGCCGCUCAUCAUUCUUUCAGGUUGUUCCAAAUGGAUGUCAAGAGCGCUUUCCUCAACGGGCCAAUCAAGGAGGAGGUGUACGUAGAGCAACCCCCUGGCUUCGAGGAUGAACGGUACCCCGACCAUGUGUGUAAGCUCUCUAAGGCGCUCUAUGGACUUAAGCAAGCCCCAAGAGCAUGGUAUGAAUGCCUUAGAGACUUUCUAAUUGUUAAUGCUUUCAAGGUUGGGAAAGCCGAUCCAACUCUUUUUACAAAGACAUGUGAUGGUGAUUUGUUUGUGUGCCAAAUUUAUGUCGAUGACAUAAUAUUUGGUUCUACUAACCAAAAGUCUUGUGAAGAGUUUAGCAGGGUGAUGACGCAGAAAUUCGAGAUGUCGAUGAUGGGCGAGUUGAACUACUUCCUUGGGUUCCAAGUGAAGCAACUCAAGGACGGCACCUUCAUCUCCCAAACGAAGUACACGCAAGAUCUGCUAAAGCGGUUUGGGAUGAAGGACGCCAAGCCCGCAAAGACUCCGAUGGGAACCGACGGACACACCGACCUCAACAAAGGAGGUAAGUCCGUUGAUCAAAAAGCAUACCGGUCAAUGAUAGGGUCAUUACUUUACUUAUGUGCUAGUAGACCGGAUAUUAUGCUUAGCGUAUGCAUGUGUGCUAGAUUUCAAUCCGAUCCUAAGGAGUGUCACUUAGUGGCGGUGAAGCGAAUUUUGAGAUAUUUAGUUGCUACGCCUUGCUUCGGGCUCUGGUAUCCAAAGGGGUCUACCUUUGACUUGGUUGGAUACUCAGAUUCCGACUAUGCUGGAUGUAAGGUCGAUAGGAAGAGCACAUCGGGGACGUGCCAAUUCUUAGGAAGGUCCCUGGUGUCAUGGAAUUCUAAGAAACAAACCUCCGUUGCCCUAUCCACCGCUGAGGCCGAGUAUGUUGCCGCAGGACAGUGUUGCGCGCAACUACUUUGGAUGAGGCAAACCCUCAGGGACUUUGGCUACAAUCUGAGCAAAGUCCCACUCCUAUGUGAUAAUGAGAGUGCUAUCCGCAUGGCGGAAAAUCCUGUUGAGCACAGCCGCACAAAGCACAUAGACAUCCGACAUCACUUCUUGAGAGACCACCAGCAAAAGGGGGAUAUCGAAGUGUUUCAUGUUAGCACCGAGAACCAGCUAGCCGAUAUCUUUACCAAGCCUCUAGAUGAGAAGACCUUUUGCAGGCUGCGUAGUGAGCUAAAUGUCUUAGAUUCGCGGAACUUGGAUUGACUUGUAGCAUACAUGUGUUUAUGCCUUUGAUCAUGUUCAUUCUGCAUUUUGUUGCUUGUUGUGGUGCUCAAGUUGUACAAACACUCCCUGGACCUCACAAGUCCGUUGCAAAGUGAUGCACAUGUUUAGGGGGAGAUGUGUUACAACUUGACCCUUUGAGACUAACUAUGUAGUUGAGUUUGCUUGAUUUAGUCUCAAAGGAGAAUUGAAAGGGAAAGGUGGACUUGGACCAUGAAAGACUUCCACUGCACUCCGAUGAGAGGGUAACUUAUUCCAAGUCCAUCUCAUGAACUCUUAUUGCCAUUUGCUCUUAAUUGAAGAUUUUGGUGAGGCAAUGGGGUUAAAGGGCCAAAGUUGAUCCCGUUUUGGUGCUUGAUGCCAAAGGGGGAGAAGAUAAAGGCCAAAGCAAUAAAUGGAUCAGCUACCACUUGAGAGAUUUGAAAAUAGUAGAGUAGAGCUUUUGUUUUGUCAAAACUCUCUUAUUGUCUCUUUUGUCAAAAGUUGGCUUCUUGUGGGGAGAAGUAGUAAUUAUGGGAAAAAGGGGGAGUUUUUGAAAUCUUUGAUCAAUCUCUUUUGGAAUGACUCUCUUUAUGCUUCAACAUGUGUGUUUGACUUAGAGAUAGAGAUUUGAGUUUGAUUUACAAAAACAAACCAAGUGGUGGCAAAGGAUGAUCCAUAUAUGCCAAAAUUGAAUAAAACUCAAAUUUGUUUUAUUUGAAGUGAUUUUGCACUUGUUCUAGUUGCUUUAUGUUGUGUUGGCAUAAAUCACCAAAAAGGGGGAGAUUGAAAGGGAAAUGUGCCCUUGGGCCAUUUCUAAGUAUUUUGGUGAUUGAGUGUCAACACAAGUGCUUAAAUGUAAAUCUAUGCCCGUGGAUGGACAAGUUGCAAAUCACAAGUAAAGGUAUGUUUCUAAGCCUUAGUACAUUGGUUUUGUGUACUAAUAUACUUGUCUAAGUGUUAGAAACAGAGAGAAGAAGAAAGAAGAAGGGUUGGCUGUGUACAGCCAAAAGGCUGCUUCGGUCUAGGGCACCGGACUGUCUGGUGGUGCACCGGACAGUGUCCGGUGCGCCAGGCUGCCUCGGGCGAAGACGCCACUCUCGGGAAUUUGCCGACGGCGUACGGCUAAAAUUCACCGGACUGUCCGGUGUGCACCGGACUGUCCGGUGAGCCAACGGUCGGCUGGGCCAACGGUCGGUCGCGCGAUCUGCGCGAGACACGUGGCCGAGCCAACGGUCGGAAGGGGGCACCGGACUGUCCGGUGUGCACCGGACAUGUCCGGUGCGCCAACGGCUCCCAGAUCUUUAACGGUCAGCAACGGUCGGCUGCGCUGUUUAUGGAAAUAAAUCGGGCACCGGACAGUGUCCGGUGUGCACCGGACUGUCCGGUGCGCCCGACGACAGAAGGCAAGGAUGGCCUUCCAGAUUUGUUCUCAACGGCUCCUAGCUGCCUUGGGGCUAUAAAAGGGACCCCUAGGCGCAUGGAGGAGUAUACCAAGCAUUCCUACAACAUUCUUAAGCACCAAGACAUCGAUCUCGCGCAUUCGUUUCGUUGUGAUAGCAUAUAGAGCUCUUGUGGAGUUGUGAACUCUUUGAGUUGUGUUGCGAGCUCUUGUUGCUACUUGUGUGCGUGUUGUUCUGAUCUUUUGAAGUCUUGUGUGCGUUGCUCAUUCCCCCUUUGCUAUGUGUUUCUUUGUGAAAUUCAAUUGUAAGGGCGAGAGACUCCAAGUUGUGGAGAUUCCUCGCAAACGGGAAAAGAUCAAAGAAAAGAAGAACACCGUGGUAUUCAAGUUGAUCAUUGGAUCACUUGAGAGGAGUUGAGUGCAACUCUCGUCCGUUGGAACGCCACAACGUGGAGUAGGCAAGUUUUGUACUUGGCCGAACCACGGGAUAACCACCGUGUCAUCUCUGUGAUUGGUUUCUUGUGGUUAUUGUGUUUUGACUCCUCUCUAGCCACUUGGCCAUAAUUGUGCUAACACUUAACAAGUUUUUGUGGCUAUAAGUCUAAGUUUUACAGGAUCACCUAUUCACCCCCCCUCUAGGUGCUCUCAGAUUGUUGGUGUCACUUAUUACUAUGUUGGGUGUAUUGUGUUUCUGUGCCGAUUUCAGGGUAAUUGUCCAGACAGAAACUCCUUGCACCUUCUCACUGUCCCCGUCCCCAUGGAGAGGAGUGAGAGGAGCAGGAGGGCGAGGAAGGACAAGUGGCGCCCUCGACAGGGACGAACUCGGUCAUGUACACGCAGGAGCUGCUGGACGCGGACGGCGGCGGCAGUGCCCCGGACUCAGUGGCUCAACGGGAUAGACUUCCUAGAGCGGCUGCUGCUCAUGGGCGACUCGAUGAACCGGAACCAGUUCGAGUCCAUGCUCUGCGCGAGGCCUUGCCGAACACGGCCAGAUGUUCGAGAUGCACGAGCACAGGAUCAGCAAGGGCCAAGGCUUCUUCAUCUUCGAGUUCACGAUAAUAAUAAAUCAGCCAAGUGUGGCAUUGUGUAAAAUAGCAUGGAAGCUAGAGUAAUUAUUUUUUAUCUCAGUGGUUCCCACUCAAGGAGCUUGGUGUUUCUGAUCUCAAUGUUUUUUGGUACAAGGUUUGGCAUGCGUGCAAGUGACUUUUUCCUUAAUAUGUGCUGACUUUUGGCAACUCUAAUGUACUGGUGCCAAGGGUUAGAUUCAUUUGUAUUUGUUGAAUUUCUAAUUAUCUGUUUUCUUAUGACAACCCUAGGAUAAUAAUAUUAUAUGUUUCCGUUGCAGCACACGAACACUUAACUAUAGUAUUAUAUGUUUCUGUUGCAACACACAGUCACUCACCUAGUUAUAUAUGAUGAUAUGUGAGAAGUAGAAAAUAAAAAAGAAAUGGAAAGGGGGGGGGGGGGGGAGGACAGUAGUAGUGGCCCAUCUUCGUCGCAGCGCCGGCGCUCCAUCUUUCGCUCCAUCCCUUACUCGCGCUCGGCACACCGGCUCUCAGGGCGGCGGCGCUCAGGCUCGGGCUCUCAAGCGACGGCGUCAACGGCUUCCCCUCCCGCCUCCGGUCCUCCGCACACCGGCCGGUGACCCUGCGUGCGUGCCUCUCUCUAUCUCUCCUCUCUCCUCUGUUGGAUCGUCAACAGCGCUCUGCCCCGGCGGCUGCGCCGCGCGGGCCUGAGGGCAGCGGGAUCCAGCAGCCACUGCUUCACCAAGGCGGUCGCGCCGAUUUGGGAGCGUUUAUGCCCCAAAACAAAGCGAUACCCGUCCUCUUAGCGCUUCAGCGCGCUAAGACGUGCGCUUAGUGCCGCUUUUUGGAACCCUAAUUAAGCUGUUUUUAUUGGUGUGUGUAUUAAUAGUAUUGACAUUAAGAAUACAAGUAGUGUGUACUAUUAGUUUCAUCCACCUUGAUUAUUAGGCGCAAGAUUUAGGGUAAGUUGCAUUGUGCAUGUGUAUUGUUCCUUCAUGCUGACAUUAGCUCACUUCUGAAAUUCUUAGUCAACUACAGUGUCAGCUACACAUCAGGUCACUCCAUCAAAUCGAUGUACACCUGCUUAUUGAGGGCAUCGAUCAACGGCUAUGUGGAUGGAAAAGAAAAUGGCUUGCUUAACAGAACGGGCCGCCUUACGCUUGUCUCUUUGGUUCUCUCUGCCAUGCCAACCUAUCAUCUUACCAUAUUCCCCUUGGCGGCAUGGGCAAAUAAGAAAAUUGACAAAAUUAGGAGGCCUUUCCUACAGAAAGGGGAGGAAAAUGCGAAUGGAGGAUAUUGUCUGUUUAAUUGGCGAACGGUCACCCGCCCGAAGGAUCUUGGAGCAUUAGGCGUACCCGACCUAGAGAGGUUCGGCCGUGCAACUCUUACUUGAUGGUUGUGGCAGGAUUGGGCGGAAGACUCCAAACCUUUGAUCGGGAUGGGCCUUCCUUUUAAUGAUGUUGAUCGCCUACAAUUCAAUUUCUCGACCACAAUCACUUGCUCGCUUCUGGCACACCAAUUGGCUUGAAGGAGAAACAACAUAAAUACCUGGCCCCAAAUCUCUCCAAGUUAGCCAUUAGUAAGAAUAAAACAUUGCAACACGAACUCCGAAACAACAGUUGGAUACACAGCGACGCCAUUUCACCACCUUUACCAACAUUGAGGAGUUAGUCUCCCUCUAGAUCAAGAUCCAUGAUGUGCAUCUCACACAAGGUGUCAAAGACUCCACCUAGAAAUGGACACCAGAUGGCAAGUACUCUACUCACUCAGCAGUCAGCAUACCAUGUUCAAUUCAGUGUUUUUUUCACAAAAUUCCGAAGGGACCUCAUUUGGAGAGCACUUGUAGAAAAUAAGUGCAAGGUCUUCUCCUGGAUCCCAAUUAAGGGAAAACUACUAAUGGAAGAUAACAUGGAAAAAAGGGUUGGCUGCACGAGGAACACUAUGUUCUCUGCAACGGGCCUUUGGAGACCCGGCUGCACCCAUGCUUUUGCUACCCAUUUGAUAAGGCAGCUUGGAAUCAAAUCCUUGCUUGAGAGCACUUUGACAGAGUGACAGACCAUUGGGACAGCAACAGGCUGACCCCUCAAAGAUCAUAUAGUGGUGGGAAAUUGCCUCAAGUAAGGUGUAUUGUAGUGAAUGAAGAUGGUUGAGUGGCAUGGUGAUUUAUAUAUUCUGGAACCUCUAGAAAGAGAAACAGAAGAAUCUUCAAUAACGCCUAUGAAACAGUGAUGCAGGUGGCCGCAAGAAUUAAUAGAGCAGAGAAGAAGAGUGAUAGCGGACUAUUUAUCUUUUGUGUGAUCUUUCUUGCUCCUGCCCCAGAGGGGUGUGGUAUUUUUGCUUGUACAUAAACAUUCCUUUUUUCCUAUCUUAAUUGAAGGGCAGAGAUCCUGCCAAACUUUCAAAAUAAUGUGAACUAUAGUGUGGCUUCUUGAUU